RNAcentral lists this long non-coding RNA (80910 nucleotides) under Citrus maxima (pomelo). RNAcentral's name for it is "long non-coding RNA (CMAX_LNC001407)". The record is from RNAcentral. Lineage: Eukaryota; Viridiplantae; Streptophyta; Magnoliopsida; Sapindales; Rutaceae.
AGUAACUCUCUUUGCAUUUCUAGAGCUGCACCAGACACGGUUCUGUAUGGACUUGGAGUUCGAUAUUUUGCAGCCAGAUGCAGCAUGUUAUUUCCACAGCUAUCUAAAUAGGUUGCCAAAAGCUGCUUAUUGAAGCCUUGCUCGUAGAUUAGAUUGAAUACAUUCAUAUGACGAUUCAAAAUGGCAAUGUGAAAUAUGCUGCGACCAUUUUCAUCUAAUUCAUGAACAAAAUCAGGAUAAGAGCCAAUGAGCUCAGCCAAGAACCGAAAGUUCCCCACUUCAGCUGCAUCGAACAAUAAGUUUGUAGGUUUUCUGAUCACUUCCGCAACAUCCACAUCUUGUUGUCUAUUUAUUUCUUUCCACAGACAUUUGACUAGUUCAAGGGCUUGAUUAUUCAUCAGCUCAAUAUUUCGACUGCACUUCAUUAUUCCUAGGACUAAGGUGAGAAACAAGUGAUUAGGAAUCGAUAGUUAAAAAAAAAAAAAAAAAAAAAAAAAAAAACUACUACUACUAUAUACAUGCGACAUGGGCUCGACCGAGUAACUUUAAAGCAGCUUUCUUUGAUUUACUACUCGAGAAGGUAGUGAGAAAAUAGGGGUAAAUAAUUAAUUUGUUUAAAAAAUAAUUUAAAAAUAAAAAUUACUAUAAGGAGUAUCAACAAAUAGGGUUAAUUACUUGAGUUAAUAAGCCUUUUCAGUAGUCCUCCACCUCUGCCAGCAAAUGGAAAAGGAUUUCGAGCCAACAUAUGCAAGGCCGUUCCAUGUUUCACAUGAUGAGUUAGAGCUAGUUGUCUGUCAUUCUUCAACAAUUUCAACGCCAGAUCUGGCCAAUGCACCCGAAUUAAUUUUAUCCGAAACCCGAAAGUGUAUAUAUAUUGCAAUAUAGAAAAUCUUAUUUAUGCAAUCUCUACGAUUUACUUACACUACAAAUUCCCCAUAAAUUCUAUAAAUAUAUUAAAACUGCAAUCCUUGCUUGACAAAAUUUUGGUUACUAUGAUACCAGCAAUAUAAACAAUGUAACUCGCCAGUGACAGACUAACUUUUUGUUCUUUUAUUGCUAUUUUUAUAUUAUCAGAAUUAAAAACUUUAAAAGGACAAUAUUAGAGAGUUAAACACGACAACGGGAAGGAAUAUAGUUUCCUAACCAUGACUCAUGAGUGGAAAAAUUAAAUUCUUGCAUUAGGUCACUUUUCGCUAAUCAAACAAAUGAAUUAUUAUUCCUUGUCUAUUUCCCUUUAUUUUUUCUCAUUAUCCCCAUCAACUAAAUAUACCCUUUACUCUAAUACCAAGAAUAAUGACAUAGACAUCUCUAAUGUUCAUAAAAAAUAAUAUGAAAUGUGAUGUAGCAUUCAUCGAGUGGUUGAUUAUUUUUUUAAAUUUCAAGUGAAUUUAUUGUGUUAUCUCACCAUCCACUUAAUGAAUGCUAUAUCAUCUGAUAUGAAAUUUUUAAUAAAAUUUAGAAUUUUGGCACUACUCUAACAUAAAUUAUAAAUAAAUAGCUAGGCAGAAAAGUGGGAACAUUAAUAUGAAAGAUAAGUACAUAACAAGGCAGAGGUUAGUGUGGGCUAGGAUAGGCUGGGCUAUAUUUAAAUUUUUUUUGUUAAAGCCACUAAAGUUAUCAGCUAUUACCAAUUUUACCACUAAUAUAUUUACGAAUUUACAAAACCUCACACACAAAUUUGAAUUGUUUUCAAAAUUAGUUCACCUCCCUCUUUUUCAAAUUAUAGCUACUUACACAAUUAUCUUUGAUUUUCAAUUAUUACAAAAUUUAUUAGAGGUUUUGUUAUUGUAAUUUUAGGACCCAACAUCCAUUUUUUUUUUUAAAGUAAGGGGUGGGUAAAACCCAAAUAGUUUUUUUUUUAAAUUUUUCCUCCUUAUUAUCCCAAAGAUCGAGCCAGGGUGGUCAAUGGCUACAAACUUCAUAUUGUUACCGACCCGACCACGCCCUUGGAGGUAGACCCAACAUCCAUUUCCUAAUUUCUUAAUCUUUAUUUUCCUCUUUCUUCUCUCAUGUACACAAAUUUGUAAAAGCCACAGAAUUUAGCAUACAUUUUAAUAUUUUUUACUUUUAGUACUUAAAAAAAAAAAGAAUUAGGGCUUACAUUACAGGAUAUUUUUCAAAUUCAUUCAAAGCUUAAUAUUUAAUGCACUUACUUGAGAGUUUUGUUAUUGUUUUUAUUUUGAUUAUUUCAAUCAUAACUCCCAAAAUCUAUUCAUUUUUAUACUCUAAAGUGUUGUUGAGGGCAACUUUGAUAGCGCUUAAUUAUAUUUGUGUUCUUUAUACAUAUUUUUCUUACAUAUCACAAUGAAAUGUUAUUCGAUUUUUUUUUAGCAAUUUCUUUUAUUCAAAUAUAUGUUAUAAUAAAGACCUUUCGAAAGGAAUAGAAAUUAGAAUAAAGUGAAGUUUCUUUAGCUCAGCCUGAAAAGAAUUUCUGGCUAAAUCUUCUUGAAUUUAUUGUUUUAAUGUCCCGAAACUAAAGCAUAAUGAAAUUGAGGACACUUGUUAUUAAUGUAACUCAUGCACCUAUUAAAACUUGAACUCAACACUUGAACCUUAAAAAAAUGCUACUUACUACCAAAGCUAAAGCUUUACUUCGGCAUGCUAUACAUUUAAAAGAUGGAAAUUUAUCGCUUGAAUAUGUCUUGGUACUUACCGUACAAACCAGUGUCGACACUUGUAAUGAAUAUAACUUUCCGGUCCUCAGUUGGCAGUUCCUUUUCACUUUUAUGGAAUAAAAAUGAUGCUGUAUCCGUUUGUCCAAACAAAGCAGCAAAGUAGAGCGGUGGCAUAUUUUUACUGCCUCGGAUUCCCAGCAGACUCGGAUUCUUUUUAAGCAUUAAAUUAGCAAUAUCUACAGCUCCUACAGCAGCAGCAAAACAAAAAGCUGUGUUCCCAUUUUCGUCCUGAAGCAUCAAGUCUUCUGGAUCCAUAAAAGUCAGCAAUUGCUGAACAAAACUAGUUUGUUUUGCUCCUGUUGCUACAUGAAGAACAGUUUGAUGUCCCUCUGUAAUGGCCGCACAUAUUAUUGAUAGAUAAUCCUUUUCAAAUAAACCUUCAAUUUCCUUCAUCUCUCCUUUUAGUGCAGCCUUAUAAAGCAGUAAACGUUCACUGCAGCAUAGUUUUCUCUUUUUCCCUGUUAAAAUUUUGAACUUAUAAAAGUUGAAUUUUAUGUAACCUAAAUUAAAAAAAAAAAAUUAAAGGUUAUCUCAUUCUUACCAGAAAGCAAGUGAAGAGAAGGCUGCUUAAGUACUCGAGUUACUGAACUUUUCUCGCUCUCAACAAAUUCUGACACUUUUAUUGAAAACGAACCUCCCACUUCCGAACAAGGGUUCGAACUGAAAUCCCUUUUAGCCAUUUCACCUGAACUGCAAAUAUAUAUAUAUAUACAUGUCUAUUCUCGUUACAUGAACUGAAUAUAUACGUAUUGAACUUCAUCUUGCAAAUACUUAUUAAUAAACAAUUUAUGCAUUUGAUUUCAUAGUUCAGGCCAUCAUGUGAAAAUAAAAAUACCUCGAGUCUGACUUAAUUCCAUUUACAUUACUUGUACUUAAGUUAAUUAAUUAGCUCAGCGUUACUUGAUUUCCAGUCCCAGUAUGUAAAAAUGAACUAAAUCCAGUGCAUACAAACAUACGUAUAAAUGGACUUCAGAGUGAUAAUUCUUCAGUAGUUGAAAAAAAAAAAAAACACCAAGCAGAGAUGCUUGAAGAAGAGGUUUAAUUGCAGAAACCUUACAAUAGCGAUAUGGUCACCAAAUCAACUCCACUAGAAGUAAUACUUGAUUUAUGAUUAAUGUACUCAACUGUCCAAGUACUUUCCGUGCUCACUAUAUAUAGGCACAGUUACCUUGGACCCCCUUUUCUCCCCAUCCCAUCUCGUGUAGGCGUGUACCCUCUCCUCCACUGCUUUUUAAUUUUUAAUUUUAUUUCAGUUUUCUACUCAAGAUUGAGAGAAUUUUACAGGUGCUCCAAAUGUUUGCACCGUCUCUAUCUAUAUAAAAAUGUGUUGUACAUAUGACAAGAAUUAAGUGGAAAGUGAAGAAUUAGAUAAACAAAAUAUAAUAAAACCUUUAUAAUUUAAUAUUUCAUAAUUUAAUAUCUUUUGCUGUCUCGACUUGGGCCAAAUGAAUAACUUAGUAAUUUAUCAAAAUUACUAAGAUAGUAAUUUUUCUAAAAAUAUUCUGUGGUCCCAUUCAUAUCAUAAAUUAAUAAUUUUUUGAAAUUAUAACUAUAAUUGUUAUGAUAUUUUCAGCGUUGGCUCUAGAGCAUAUGGCGCUUUAAGGGAAUUUUUUUUGUAAGGCCUUUUUUUAUUUUACAAUUUCAAUAAAAAGACUCAAAUAAUAUAUAUGGAUUUUGUAUUUUAAGAAACUACUUUUUCUUUUUUAAAUGAACCAAUGAAUGUAAUAAUUUUUUUUGUUAAAAAAGGAGCAAGAAAUUUUAUGUUUACUAAUUUGUUAUAUUACAAGGUUUUAAUAUAAAUUAAAAGGAAUAUUAAAAGUAAAAGAAUUUAAUUUUUUUCUAGGAAACUGAAAAGGUAAAAAAUUUAAAUUUUUUUCUUGGAAAGACUAAUAAUGAAUGAUUUAAUGGUUAAACAAUAUUAUUAAUUAUAUCUCUUUAACAUUAAAAUUACCAAAUAUUGAUUUUAUAUUUUAAAAAAAUUCUUAGUUGUAGCAUAAUUGUUAAGUAUAAAGAUGUCUAAUAAGCUUUUCUAUAAUACAUAAUUUAAAAAAAGAUCUUUAUUAAUUAGAGAAUUUUUAAGAAAAUACUCAAAAAAUGAGGUAUUAAAAAAAUAUGGGGCCUUAGGCGACUGCCUUGUUCGUCUAUACUUAAAGUCAUUCUUGGAUAUUUUAUUAAAAAAUGACUCCAUUGUUACUUGUUUUUUCUUGAAUUUAAAUAUAAUUAUAUCUCAUCUCUAAUUUUACUUUUGCUUUUAGAGGUUCAAAUUUGAAACUUAUAAAUUUUAAUUUUUUUGUUAAUUUAUUUUAUAUUGAGUGGAUUAAUUCACGUUUAAUUGAUUAAAUUGGUAAAAUACAAUGAAUUUUUAGUUGAUUAAAAUGUUUGUUCAUUGAAUUGUAUAUAUACUUUAUACAUUAAUAAAUUAUUAAUUUAUCAAUUAAUUGAUACUUCUUUAAUUUAGUAGGUUUUGUAUAGUCCCAAUAUAAUUAUUUUGCAGAGAUUUUUACUGUACAAUCACUCUCACAUGUUGCUCUAUUAACUAAAUAUAAUAAAAAAAAAUAAUCAAAUACAAUUAUUAUAUGGAUUAUUUCGCCAUAUUUGCAUUGUAUAAUGGGUAAGAUUUAGUUACCAGAUUUGCAGAUCAUAAUGGCUAUGAUUAUAUGUAUGUAAUAUUGGUCUUGAUUUUGGUUAAUUCUAGGAUUCUAUCUUCGUUUGAUAGCUUUUUUUUUUUUUUCCUUAUUAUGAUCUUGAUCUUCCGAUUGUUCAUACGACUCCUAUCAGAAAAAUGAUAAAAUUCAACGGGACAUUUUGAUCGAAUAUGACAAGUCUUUAACAGAUGAAAUUUAUGUAAAAUUCUGAAUUAAUCAUAUCUCGUUAGGCGUUUGUUUAGGAGUAAUUAGUAACUACAAGUACCCAGCCACUGCGAAUUUUUUUUUUUUAAUUACAAUUAGCCUAACCAGCGAUUGUGUACAAUAAUUUUUGUAGAUAGAGUGAAAAUUAAUUUUUUAUCUUUUUACUUUUUUUAUGAUUCGAACUGAGUCACUUCCAUAUGUUUAGAAGUUACUCCUGAAAUUUGGUAAAAGUACAUUUAGUUUAUAUAUUUUUAAAAUGUGAGGGAUAUCAUAUGCCUAAUUUGGUAAAAAUACACAAUUAGCGCAAACCCUAAAAUAUUAUUAUUUUGCCCGAAGAACGAAAAAAAAAAAAAGAAUCAUUAGUUAAUAUUUUAUGUCAUUUGUUAAUAAUAAUAUCUAGGGAGCAGGUGCCAGUUGGCAGUGGCAGAAGAGAGAGAGAGCUAGCUCGUGGAUAAUAAUCUUUUAAUAAUAUUUUAUUUUUUGAAGUAGCUAUAAGUUGUAAAAUAGUUUUUCCUAUGGAUCUAUUUAGUUUCUUAAAUCUUGUAAUAAAGAAAAGGAGGAAUUUCACUUUACCUCGCAAAUCACGACAUAAUUUGAUUUACUCACAGUGUAAUUGAAGGCAUGGUUGCACCCCCUAACAAUUAAAGUUUACUUCAAUAGUUGACUAGCUUUCACCAAUAAAAAAACCAUUUUGCUCUUAAACAUUCAUAUUUAUGUGUAAAACUUUUACCUUAAAAAUUCAAAUUUUACAUUAUAAUAAGGAUAAAUGUGUAAUUGUCAAAAAUUUAAAAUUUAGGAAUAUUAAGAUUAUUCAUAAAAACAGAAAUUUGUAAAAACUAUAAAACAAAAAAUAUUCACAUUAUUCAUAAAAAAUGAAAAUCUGUAAAAAGUAGGAAAUUAAAAAAAUUCGCAUUACUCAUAAAAAAUUUAAAUUAGGAGAAAUUGCCAAACACUAGCCCUAAUUGACUAGAAAUCGUCAAAUUAACCACAAAUUGCAAAGUUCUUCAUAGCAACGACAACUGUUAGGAAGAGCAGCAACCGUCGUUAUGCUCAUGGAGUAAUAGUGGCUCGCCUUACUUGCGUGGCAACAAUAGCACCAUAAGUGCAACCGUAGCAUAUGAGGCUAAGUCAUAUAUGAAAAUUAGUUCAAGAGUUAAAGAUUACCUCAAAUUUGUAUUAUUAAUUGAAUAACUAUUCUCAGCUAAUAUGAGAUAGUUAUUAACACUUUUUGUCAUGUAAAAACUGGUACUUUUAUCUGGUCUUUAUUGCAUGGUAAGGUAAAGUGAGUCUAUUUGUGCCUAAGUAUAGUUCUAAUACCAUAUAGAAACUCAUAAACCUAAUUCAUAUUUAAAAGUUAGCUCAAGAGUUAGAAGUUGCCUCAAGCUUAUAUUAUUAGCUUAGUGACUAUUUUCAACAGAUGUGGAAUAUUCUUAAUACCCCAUCACGUGUAGGCUAAUCUUUUUGCGAAGCCCUCGUAGGUGUGGCUUCCUUGCACAGCAGCAGUAGCCGCAUGCUGGCUUUGUUAAUUUAAUUAUGAAGAAUGGGGAAUCUCCAUUAUGGGAACGAAUUUGAGCUUCAUCUGUUGAAUUUAGAUUAUAUUACAGUUUGGGUUACAGUUUGACAACUGAUCUGAAAUAUUUGAUGAAAAUGUCUUUUUUCUAAUUUAUCUUACUUUUAAAUUAUAAAUAUUCGUAAUAUUAUACAAAAAGUCCAUUUUACCCUUUAGCCAAUUAAAGUUAACAAAAAAUAAUAUUGGAAAGGGAUGCGAUGAUGUUUUUCAAUUAUUGUUAGGUAAAUUGAAUUAUGGCGUAACGUACAGAGAUACAGUAAAAAUUUCACUUAAAAAUAAAUAAAUUCCAGGGAUAUUGAGUAUCUACUAUUUUUAAAUUCUACAUAGUGAAAUGUGCUCCUAUUAAACUUCAGGCAAUAUAUGCAAUCAAUCCUUUAUGUAAUGGAUAAAUCUAAGGCAGCAGCAUUAUGAUUGGCCUGUUUGCAACUAUAAAGUUAAAAUUUAAUCACAUAUGCGCUCCUUAACAAUCACAUCCUUUAUUUUAUAAAAUCAUCAAUACAGAAUCGGAUUAAUAGUGAAUUGUCUUUCUAUUACUAUUUAGUCUAAUGGUAAUUCAAUUUUUUUUUUCAAUUAUGUAAGUAUAGUUCAAAUCUACAAUCUCUUAUUUCUAACAUGAGAUUUCACUGCAUCAACUAGAGAUUUCACUAAAUUUACUAGAUGACACUAAAUUUAUUUAUUUAUUAGCCUAAUAACAACCGCGGCAUUAUUAGUACACCUAGUACAAAAUUUUUAAAAGUCCGGAUCCAAAUUUUAAAAACAAAUGUUCCCCGUCGGCGCCUACUCUUGUCUUUAGUUGUUGGUUUGGCAUGCACGUCCAAUAUCCUUUUGUCUUCGUAAUUCCUUAAUUUUUAAUUUAUAAAGGAAUUCUUUUUAUUUAAAAUGCAGUUCCUUUCAUUCCAUCUCCAUCACAAUCAUUCUUUUUAUUUAAAAUACAGUUCCUUUCAUUAUUAUAUUUAUACUGCCUUGCAUUUUUUUAAUUUGAAUCUGCAUUAAUCCGCUCGACAAAAUCCCACACAAUUAACUUCACGUACUUGAAUAACUUGUGGAAGUCCUCAUUAGUAAGUGCAAAUAUAUAGUAUUUCUUUAAUAUAGACGUCUUUAGUUAAAAUAAUAUUAAAAUUUAAAACAUAUAUAUAUAUAUAUUUCAACACAUUAAAAAUGAUAUUUUUUUUUUAUUAAUUAGUGGUAUCCUAACUUUUUGAAAAUGAGGAUGUCGCCAUUAAAUAAUUACAAUAUAUAUAUAUAUAUAUAUUUGAUGCUCAUUUGAUUCAGGAUCCCGAGCGUUAUUAAAGUUUGAGAAAAAUUUUACACAAACUUAAAAAAAGUCUAAAAUUGUGGAUUAUAUAUAUAUAACAUCUGUGUGGUCUAACAUGCCUUUCUUUGAUAUGCGGUGGCUUAAAUAAAAAAAAUUCGGUGCAUUGACAUAAUCAAAGGGCUUUUGCAUGAUAAAGAUAAACUAGUUUAUACAGUCUAGAAACAUGCUUACGGAUAAGAAUGAAGACAUUUCCACAAAAUAAUAAUAAUUAAUUAAAUAAAAUAAUAAAAGGUUUGAAGUAGUCAAUUAUUGCGUUUUUGAGAAGAAUUCAUGUGUUAGAUAAGAAACUGCAUUAACAACUCGCAACUUGAAUCUCCAAACACCCAUGUAGAACACAAAAGUACUCAAAACUAGGUGAGAACAUCUAUGUUAACAAAUUUAAAAGAAUUUCCCAACUGAGAUAAAAAGAAAUCUAAUGAAAUUUAAAGAGCAUAAGAGGAAAAAUAAUCCACUGAUAUUACAAUUAGACUAUAACUGAUAUUUACAUUAAAGUAUUACAGAUAUUUAUAAACUAAACUACUACUAUGACUAGUUUAUAUUGAUUAUUUUGAAGUAUUGUCCAGAUUUUAAGUCUCACUAAUAUUUGAGAGACGUCCACUCAAAUUUCAUAAGGGAAAUGACUAUUUUCACUUAAUUAUAUCAAAAUUGAGAAAGGAAUGAAGCUCUCAUAAUACUUUUAUGAGAACUUGAAUAUAAGUACUCUUCCACUGGACCAAAGGCCGAUUGGUGUAAUAAUUAUCACUUAUGAAUUCAUAAUAUUUUCGAUAACUUUGGCCAAUUUUAAAAAAUUCUACCAGCUUUGGUUUUUUUUUUUGUUCUGUUUUUGUUUUUUUUUUUUCAUUUGCUUCUCAAGUUUUUUUUUCCCCCCGAUGACCUCGUUUUUUUAUUUUUCCGAUGAUCUCUGGUGUCAUUCUUGUGCUUAAAUUGAGAUAUUACAUAUGAGUUUAGUCGUUGGUGGUGCACGGAGGUUUUGAGGGUCAUGUGAAGAUUUUUUUUUUUCCAUGUAGACACAUUGGCGAAAUGUUCUGUAGGGUGGCUUUAAUGUGUGUUUUUUUUUCAUUUUGUAAAAUUACUUUUUUAUUUUGUUGGUUUUUUGUCAUUAAAUAAAGUCAUCGGAUUUUAGAUCUAGGAUUUCCAUUGAGAUCUUAAAUAGUAGUAAUUAUGUGUGUUGCCUUUACAUGUAUUAAGGACAUUUCUGUUUUCCAUUUGAAUGAGAACUUCAUUUACAGUAUUUCUUUUCAGUUAGGACUUAGGAGGACUCUUAAAUGAAUAGAAUGUGUCCUAUAUCUUAGGCAUACGUUUAACUUUACAAGCGGUUUGAUGGUAUGAAUUAGGGACGGCAAAUUCGUAUCCGGAUUCGGUUCUCGAUAUAUCACAUCCAGAUUUGGAUCCAUAUAAAUAUUUGAUAUCUACAUCCGCAUCCGGAUCGAGAAAAAAAUAUGCAGAUCCAAAUGCAGGUAAUACCCGUGCGGAGUACGGGAUGGGACUUCUGGAUCCAUAUAAUACUAAAUUUUCAAAUAUAAUUUAAAAUUCAACAAAUUUAACUAAUAAAAUCAAAUAAAAUCCAUUUGUAAUUCAACAAUCAACAAUUCAAUAUCUAGUAUAACUUACAACUACACCAUAAAUCCACAAAUAAAAAUACCACAACAUACAUCAAACAUUAAGAAUAAUAUAAAUCCAAGUCUAACACCACCACAAAUCCACAAAUAAAAUUAUUAAAGCACCACAAAUCCAUAUACAAUGAUGCGAAUCCAGAUAUAUUUUUAAUUUAAUUUAACUUAUAUGUUUUUUAAUUAAUCCUAUUAUUUUUUUCCUUUAACUUGUAUAUUUUUUUAAUUUAAUUUUAAUUUAAUAAAUAAUUUAAUUAAAAAAUAAUAUGGAUCUAAAUAUCCAAUUUUCCAAAUGAAUUUGCAUUCGGAUCCACACAGAUUUCAAUUUUAUUAUUCAUAUCCGCAUUUUUUAGUAAACGGAUCUAAAUUUAAUCUGGAUCUUCCACAUCUUUGCAGAUCUAAGCCAGACCCAGAAUUUUUUGCCAUCUUUAGUUUGAAUAUUGGAGUUUUUUAUUUGUAUUUGUGCCCAAAGUCGCUUGUUGUGUAAUGAUUGCCAAUUUGCCCUAUGAUUAAUGAAGUUUCUCUUCUUCUAAAACAAAGUAAUUAUACUUCGGUAAUUAUUCUCAAGUGCAAAUGUCUUCAUUUUUUUAAUAUGAAUCGAUCUUAACACCACAUGGUACUAUAGUGAUUUUAUCAUUAUUUUUUCAAUUAAUUAUAACACCAUCUGGUGUUAAGCCGAAUUCACAUUUUAAAAAAUUGCAAACGUCCAUAUAAGAAAAUGACUCUUUAUUUCUAUCUUUUUAUGUAUAUUAUUUUCAAUUUUAAAUACCCUUUGAAAACUGAUUUCGAACAUCCUUUUUUUAUUCUAAAAAUAAAAUGUGAAAAAAUGAAACGUAAUUUCAUUUUCAUUAAUUAUUUUCCAGAACACCUUUUAGAAAAUAAUAACGAUUGAGAACUAAUAAUUGAGUUCCAACUUAAAUCUCAAUUGUUAUGUGUUGUUAUUUAUUAAAUAAUUAAUUUAUAACUAAAAUUAAUAAUCUAUCAUCCAUUAAGUACCACAUUAGUUAAAACUCAAUUAUUAAAAUCCCUAACAUUUCUCUUUACCAAACAGUACCAAAUACCUAAGGGGUCCUAAUUAAUUUUUGUCCAAAGGUUUUUCCGAAUCCAUUCUUAGACACGCAACGUAAGGAAGAAGCUGAGAGCACACUGGGCCCGAAUUGGGCCCCAACCUGCAUAGCACUUUAUACUAUUGGUACCACUCAAAUUUCUCUUUUUGGGAUAAAUCCCCAUGGUUUUGCAUUUACAAUUUUGUCCUUUAUAUUUUUAUAUUGUAUUAAAGCAAAAACUUGUCUAAUUAAACACAUACGAUUUUAUUUCGGUUUCUUUCUCCAUUACAAACUCAAGUCAACUGCAAAAGAGUAUGAAUUUGUUAUAAAAUAAGCUUUAUUAAAUUUACAAUUUAUUUUUGUUGAAAAUAUAAUUAUGUGAAGUUUUCAUAGAUUAUUAACUUUAUGAACAUUUUAGGAAAUAACCAAAUCUUGCGCCUAUUUUCUUUUUGAAGUGGAAUUCUAGUUACUUAAUUUAAUUUUUUUUUUUUUUUGGGAAGUUGAUGCUGCUUAAUAAAUCUUUGAGUUGGACUAUUGGCACCCCUCCAAAAUCCUUUUAAAACCCCUCUUCUAUUACAAUUACAUUUAAGGACAAAUACUCAAAUAUAUUUCACAUCUAUUUUAUCUCAUUUUAAAUUUGUAUUUUCUCUCUUUAAAAAAAAUUAAAACUCUUGUAUUUUCUCUGCUAUCAAACUCACACAUGUAAUUUUUUUCUCAAAUUCUCUAUAAAUUUUUCUUCAAUUACCAAGACAAUCUAUUGAUAAUAAACAAAAUACAUUCUGACAAAAUUAUCUACCUUUUUUUAAGGCUCAUAAUAAAAUUUUUUACAUCAUAAUCUUACAAAUAUGUUAUUUAAUUAAUUGAUUUUUAUAAAGAAGUUUAUCACCCAUAAAAAUUUGUUUGUGAGGAGCAAGAAAAUAAUAGAAAAUUAAAAGAUUUACAAAUUAAAUGUGUUUAUUUAGAAAUAAGGGUAUUUUUGGCAUUAAACUUAACAUUAUUGAAGAAGGGGUUUCAAAAGAAUUUUAGAGGGGUGCCAAUAGUCCACCUCUAAAUCUUUUUCUUUACAACAAAUUCGCAUCAGUUUAUUGGAUAUAAACUACAGACAGAAGAAGUUGAAAAAGGGUUGAAAGGAAAGAGUGAUAACUACAGACAGACUGAGGAGUUUAUUGAGAAAAAAGAAAGAACCAAAUAAAAGUUAUUAAUUUCAGGAAUUAAGAGAAUAAAAAAAAUAACAGGAUAAUAAAAGGAUGUAAAUAGAACCAUUCCUCUAUAUAUCAUUUGGUAUAAUUUCGAUAUCCUUAGUUUGAAAUAGAAAAUUAGAAGUGAUUACUAAAUAAAGGUAAUUGCUCUUUUAAUCCAUAUAACCUGAGUCAAUUAUUUCGUUAGUUGUUGUACUUUUAAAAGAUUACAUAUAAAAAAAAAAUUGUUAAUGUGAGAUCCAACUUCUAUCCAAGUUCAGCUAAACGAUUAAUUUAAAAAAUUGAUGAAAGCAAUAAAGUGCAAAAAAGUAAGGUACAUGGGAGAAUCCUUGCCGCCACAUCCAAGCAUUCAACAAUCUAAUAAUAGUAAUAGAGAUAAUUUCUUAGCACCUAUCAACUGUUGACUGGUAAACACUUAAAACAGCGUGACAAAAAAAUUUCAGCAAUCGCGAGGUCGAAUGUUCAUUUUUUUUAAUGAAAUUAUUUUUCUUUUUCAAAUUAUUGUUUCGUGUUUUCUUUUUGUUUAUUUAUAUUUUUUUUUUCUCUGAAAGGGGUGUUUGUUAGUUGGCCUUUGAAUAUUUAACGUCACCUAACGAUUCUAGUAUUCUGAAGUUAAAAAUUCAAAGGCCAACUAAGAACCACCCCUUUCAGAGAAAAAAACACAACACUAUCAUUUGUAAAAGAAAAACAAUUUCAUUUUUUUUAAAAGUAUAAGAACAAAAUGUAAUAUAAGAUUGACAUAGAAAAUUAGAAACGAUUACUGAAUAAUGGUAAUUGCUCCUUUAUUUUAAUAUUAUGUUUUUAUUUAUUAUAAAAUUUAGUCUAAUAUAAUAUAAGACUUUAAAGUAUUAAAAUAUUUUUUUAAAUGUUGAAAUAUUUAAAAUGUAUAUAUUGUUACAUUUAUUUUAAUACUAUAUUUCUAUUUAAUAUAAAAUAUUAGAGUCUUUUUUUUUUAAUUAAUAGAACCAAAGUAUAUUAAAGUCAAAAAGAGGUCUUGGUGUUCCUUAUUAAAAACUUAAAGGUUUACAUGACCAUUUCUCCAAAUUUUGAGGGUGUAGGUGUCUUUCUUUAUUAUAAAUUAAGUACAAAACACACAUUUUUAGAGUGAAGGUGAUUCUAGUACAUUGUCACUUUUUUUCUUUAUUGUCAAACCUGGACGUAAAUAUAUUUUCAUUAUUGUAGUAACAUUUUAUAUAAUUGAAUCACAUGAAGGAAAGAAUAAUUUUAUUGAAUUUUCAGACAAAAUGUGCUUAGAAAGCUUUUUUUUUUUCUUGCGCUUUGGGAAAAAAAUAUUUAAUAAAAGCAACAAUAAAAAAUUACAUUCAUUAAAAAAGAAGUUUAAAAAUAAAAAAUAAAACAAAUUUAUUAUUAAACUUUUUGUUAAGUCCAUUAUUUAUAGAGAUGGCAUCUUAUGGCGAGUCUAGUUAAAUUGAAAUUUUAUUUAUUAAAUAUCAUGUGAUGGGGUUUAAUUUAUUAAUUCCUUAAUUUAGUGAAAUUCUAAUUUAUUAGGAAUAUUUGUUACACAUUUUAAUUAGAUGUUUAAUUUUGCAAACCAAUUAAUGAUAAAAUUCUAUAAUUGGCGCAUAAAAUUUAUUUAGGGCAAGAAGUUGGUUCAAAUAGGAAGUUUAUUAAAUGCUCUAGAUAUUUUUUAGAAGACAAGAAGGGUAAGAAUAUUAGAUUUAUUCUUAUUUAGAUUUAUAGGAAUUAUAAGAGGAAAGAAACUCUUAUUUGGAAAGAAUCCAACCCUUUUAAGACUUGUGAUUUUUGUGAAACUCUAAUGUCUAUAUAAAGAGAGUUAUUUCACAAUUGAAGUAACAUAACACAUAGCAUAAAGAAGAGAAGCAAAAUUCAGCCUCCUCUGUACCCAGACUAUUUCUUUUUAUUUCUAUGGAGAGUUCAUGUGAUCCUGGAUCACUAGACAUUGAAGAAAUGCUAUUGAUCACUUUGCAAAAUACAUUAAGAAUCGAGGAUCAAGAGAGAUAGCAGUUAUUCAAGAGAAGCAUAUUCAAUCUAAGGUUGAGUAAGUUGUUUGCUGAUAGAUUGUAAGUGAGAGUCUUAAGUUUGGUAAAUCCAUAGGUUGUAACAUCUCAACUUAGUGAAUUACUUUUCUAGGCGUGGCCUCGCAGAUGUAGGAUCGAUUAAUCUUAACCACGUAAAAAUCUUCCGUAUUAUUUAAUUUCUACAAUUUAUUGUUUUUUAAAAAAUAAAUGUUUUUUAUGCGGAUGAACAGUACCCUGAACAGUACUCGCAAAUAGUAACAAUGAUUAGUAAAUUAAUUUAGUUUAAUUAAUUUUGUGUUUCUAAUAUAAUUAGGUUAAUUAUAUUGAAGAUUUUCUCAAGCUUCACUUUGUUAAGAAAUUAAUUAAUUAAGUCUAUAAUUAAUUAAUUCUUGGAUUUUAAUUGCUUACAUCUAUUUGUAAUGGAUCUAAAUUCCUUUCAAUUGGUAUCAGCUAGAUUAGUUGAGUGUGCUUCAAGUUCCUUUUCCCGGCUUAAAUCAUCUUAAAUCAUUUUUUGUAAGCCACUCAUCACAAGUUGGGUAUGAAGUAAUCACAUCUUGUUCAUGCACAUUAGAUGAAAUAUUAUUAGAGGACAAAUUGAAGCUAUACGGAAAUAUUCUUUCAUCAAAGACAACAUGUCUUGAAAUAUAAACGCUUUUAGUUUGAGGUUGUAAGCAACGGUAACCCUUAUGUAACGGGCUAUAACCAAUAAAGACACAACGGUAAGUUUUCUUAUCAAACUUAUUCUUUCUAUAGUCUGUAAGAUAAGGGUAACACCUGCAGCUGAAAACCUUCAAACCAUUGUAAUCAGGCUAUUUUUUGAACAAAGUUUGAUAAGGGCUUUUCAUUCCAAGAGUAGAUAAUGGCAUUCUGUUGAUCAAGUAUACAAUAGUGAGAAAAGCUUCCACCCAUAAGUGCUUUGGUAAGGAGGCAUGAUACAUCAUAGUUAGAGUUGUUUCUACGAUGUGGAGAUGUUUCCUUUUAGCAACACCGUUUUGCUCAGGAGUAUAAGGACAUGAUACUUGUCUUAUUAUUCCACAUUUUUCAAGGUGACUGAUAAAUGCUAUUGAACUAAAAUUCUCCACCGCCAUCACUUUGGAAGAUUUUAAUCUUCCUGUCAAACAAAUUUUCAACCUAUCUUUGAAACUUCAAAAAGCAGUCAAGAAAGUCAGUUUUAGAUUUUAAAAGAUAUAACAAUGAAAACUGAGUAUUAUCAUCAACAAAUAAUGCAUAAUAUCUAAAAUUUUGAGAUGAAUUAAUAGGAGAGGGACCCCAUAGAUCACAAUGUAUUUUAUGCAAGGGAAAUUUUGAUUUAUUAUUAGAGAGACCAAAUGGUUGUUUACCGGCUUUGCCUAAUUGGCAAGAUUCACACACACUCGGUAUUUUAUUCCAUCUAAAAAAACAAAUAAGGUUAUCAUUUUUUAAAGCUUGCAAAAUUCGUGAACUUUGGUGUCCAAGUCAUUGGUGCCACAAACUAAACUCCUCAGAAUUUCCUUUUAUUGCACUUAGAGCAGCAGCAUGAACCUUCUCUAAAGCAUAAAGGUUCUAUUUUCUACACCCCUUGGCUAGAACUUGGUUCUCCUUGUUCUUCACAAUGAAACCAUUAGAAUUAAAUUCAAAAGAACAUUUAGAGCUACUAGUAAGCUCAGCAACAAAUAAUAAAUUCUUUUUCAAAUGUGGAACCACAAGAACAUUAUUUAAUUUUAAAUUACCGUGUUGUGUUUUUAAAAUGGUAUUACUAAUAUGUAAGAUAUGUAAGCCUUUUCCAUUACCUACAUAAAUUUUAUCAUAUCCCACAUAUGGUGAAUAUUGAACUAGGUUACCUGUUGUGUUGGUCAUAUGAGCAGUAGCCCCUGAAUCUACAUAGAAUUGUUGAUUCGUUGGAUCCUCGAUAUUCAUAGCGGCUAGAGCUUGAGGUACUUCAUCUUUAGGCCCAUAAUAGUCAUACCUGUGAUAACAAACAACAGCACUAUGGUUAUUUUUACUGCAAAUUUGACAGAAUAUGGUGCUUGGCUUUUCCUUUUGUUUUUGUUUGAUUUCAUCCUUCUUUGGCACUUGAGAUGGCUGUUGCGGUGGCUUUUGGGAUCUUUGACCAUAUGUUGGCUGAGUUUGAUUAUUAUUGGCCCACAUAUAUUGAUUAUUAUUAUUUCUUCGACCUCCAUUGUUUUGAGAGUGCCCUCUGCCACGAGCUCCUCUAUAAUUUUUGCCCCUUCCUCUUUGACCGAAAAAGGCGUAAUUAGGAUCAGCAUGUUUGUUACCUUCUUCCUCUUUUGAUACCAUCACUGGCCGUUCAUGGUUAUAAAGGGCUACUAUAAACUCCUUCAUGCUUGGGUAAAGAGGUUUGGUGAGCAUUGCAGUCUUAAAGUUGGCAUACUUUGGUCCCAAGGCACGAGCCAAUUGAAAAACUUUAUCUUCAUCAGAUAAAGGUUUUCCAAUUGCAGCGAGGUUGUCGCAUAUCCCCUUGAACUUCUUUAGGAAAUCUUCCAACUUUAGUGAACCUCUCUUUAGUGAAUAAAAACUAUCUUUUAACCAGGACUCUUGCUCUUUGGUUGCGGAAAGCAUCUGCUCCUCUAUGGACUGCCAAACAUCUCUUGCAUUUUGAACGCCUAUGAUUAGACUCAAAAUAUCUUCGGUCAUCAUUCCCCUUAGCCAAGUCGUGAGUAAUCUGUCAUUGUUUUUCUAUUUAGAAAACUCUGGACUGUUAACUUCCUUCCCAUCAAUAAUAACUUGAUUAGAUGGUGUCCUAUCAUCGUUAAUGUAAUGCUCAAGAUCUAGGCUUUGUAUAAGCGGAAGAACCUGGGACUUCCAUACAAGAUAGUUUUGGAAAGUAAGUUUGACAGAGACUAGGCUAGAGCAUUGGUGGAAUGUUUGGAGAGGAAGUUUGGGUUCGACCAUUUGGGAAAUUAAAGCCAUAGGGCUCUGAUACCAUAAAACACUUUUUGAUAAGUUGAGAGGUAUAUAUCUUUAUUGAGUAAUUUACAAAAGAACACAAAUGAUAUUUAUACACAAGAGUUUAGUUUAGCUAUGAUAUUUACAUAAGUAUUGGAAUGUGAUUGAAAGUGGUUAUGUACAAUCAAGCCAGGAAUCCUUGAUUGAUUGGAAAUCUGUAUUUGAUUUCCGUUGAUGGUGCUGUUGAGAUAACAUUGUUGAAAUCCUUUUCGUCAAAUCUUCAAUUACCAUAUUGGCUUCAUGCUUGUCAAGUAGGACACUAAUUGUUUAUUUAGUGAGAAUCUUGAAACCUAGAUCUAUUUUGUAGGUAUGAAUUUGCAACGAGAGGGAAGCUUUUUGGCUCAUCCACUUGUAUUAUAUGGAACAUAUUAUGCUUUUUAGAAGCAAAGGAGGAAAAUUUAUCUGACAGCUAUUGAUAAAAGAGUUUGGUAGUGCAUACUUACUAGAUGUUAUCCACCUACCAAAACUUAUGAAGAUGGUGUAGAAUCUCCAAAGCCAGUCAAAGAAUGGUCUAAUGACGAACUUGAUGCAUCUCGAUAUAUGCAAAAGGACUUAAUGUUAUUGUCAAUGGAGUUUAUGUUUCAACAUUAACUAUUUUCUACAUGCAAGACAUAUAAAGCUGUUUGGGAUAUAUUUUAAAGUAAUUUUGAAGGCGACAAUUUAGUAAAAUGUUCUAAACUUUAGAAACUUACAUAUGAUUUUGAUAACUUUGAAAAUGCAUGAUCUUGAAACCAUAUCUUAAUUUAAUUUUAGAAUCCUUACUAUUGUUAAUGAUUUUUCUUGGAAAACAUAUUUCUAAGGAAGAAAUUUGUAGAAAAAUCCUAAGAUAUGUCCAUCCUAGAUAUCAUCCUAAGAUAGAAUAUGCUGAUUGAAAUAUUAGCUAAGCAACCAAAGAGAGGGAUGAAUUGGGUUUCUAAAAAUUAUGGUUAAGCAAUAAAUAAAUAAAUAACAAUACUUAAAAUGUAAAAAGAGAAGGGAAAGAGAAUCGAAUAUGAGAUGUUUACGUGGUUCGGCAAAUUUCGCCUACGUCCAUGCCUCCAAGCUCAUCCGGAUUAAUGAUUCCACUAAUCAAGCCUUACACUGCAAGGCUUCAAAAUCUUUAUAAUUGACUUCCAAUGUGUCAAUCAACCUUUACAACAAGAGAUUAUCCCAGACCUAGUAACCUAAGUGUUUCCCACACUCUCAAACACUUAAUUUGAUAAAAAUUAAACAAAUUUUCCUUCACACAACGUAUGCGUUUAUAGAUGAAAGCCUAAAGUGUGAUCUAACAAGUUUUAAGCACAAGAAAGAUUGAAUACACAAUAAUAAGCUCAAUGAUGAUUGUAGAAUCCGUUAUAUUUUGAAUUUGAUCAAGCUUUUUUAUAGUUGGAGAAGAAAACUAGCCACUUUCUAGACAUAAUCAGAUUACUGAGAAUCAGAAGUCAGAUUGUCGUUUUGACUUGUAUAAGCUAUCUUUAUGUUGAGGUUUAAAUAGUCAGUUCACCAUCUUGAAGUUAUCAGUUUGCUUCUUAAUCCUAGAAGUCGGCUUAUUGUUUGCUAAUAAUCGGUUUGUUGAUUAAUUUUAAUAUCCUUGCAAAGAGAUAUUAGCUAAUCAUUUUCAGUUAAAUUGAUCUAUGGAAUUUGUUGGUUAACCAUUUUCUAAUAAACGAUUCACCAAUUCCAAAAAAUUUGCUUAUUAGAAUUUAUCGAUUUAUUGUUUUCCAAUAAAUCGGUCACCGUUAUCUUUCAAAAUCAAAACUAUAUGUAAUCCUUAUAAAAUUGGUUUGUCGUUUCAAGAUUAUCAGUUAUUCGGUUUUGUCUAAAUUCUUAAACUUAUCUAGAAACUUUAUACGGCCUAAAAAUUAACCAAUUUUAGCGACUCCAACAUCCUUAAUCUUGUUUUUUAUCAUUAAAAUCAAUGUUAUGAAAAUAUUUAUGUUAACACUGAUAUGUCUAUGGUGACUGGAGGCCCUCUUAUAAGGAAAUUAAUGGUCUAUGAGACUAAUUACUUGAAUUUAAAUCCUAAAAAAAGAAAAGAAUAUUGAAUUUCAGGCUAAAACACAGGUUGUCAUCGCCUAACCAAGUGAGGAUGAUAAUCCAUGUGUACGUGGAUAAUUCUCUUACACUAAUUGCAAAGAAUUUCAAAAAGAUAUGAAAAAAAAAGAACUUCAACAAACCAAAGAAGACUUCUAAAUCAGUAGCUCCAAUGACUCAAAAAGGUUCUUCUAACCCUAAUUCCAAAUUAAAUGAUCUUUACAAGCUUGAGAGUAUUCAAUGCAGAGAAUGUGGAGGCAUGAGACACAUACAAGCACAAUGUUAACACUCUCAUGAAAAAGAAAGCAAUGCAACUAACUUGGAGUGAUGAUGAUUCUAAUGAUAGCAUUGAUGAAGAAAACCUUAUUGGAGGACUUGUUACCCAUGAUGAUGUGUCAUGACAAACUAAUAACCAUGUACAUGAAUUAAACAUUAAAGGUGCAUGCUCAUCUAAAACCUUGCAUAUAGCUCCCUAUAAGAAAGACAUUGAUUCUCAUCUUCUUAUACAAUAUGGUAAAAAGAAUGAUGAUUCAGAUAGUAAUGUCAGUGACAUUGAUAUAAACAACAAGAAAGCUUUUGAUGAAAGUUGUAAGAUGAUGUUUGCUAAAUGGAAAGAAAUCUACAAUGAGAAUAUGACUUUAAUGACUCAAGUAUCUAAUCUUUUGGAAGCAAAACUUGAGAGUGAGGUAAUUCGUUACAAGUUUUUAUUUACUAAAAAAGAUAACUAAUUGUUUAUAGUGAUCACAAAAUUACAAAAUAACAAAAAAUCACUCAAGAUGAUGAAUUCUGAAACUCAAUUGUUAGAUCAUAUCUCGCCAAUUGGCAAAUCUAACUCAGAUCAUCAUAGUCUUGGAUAUCAACAUGGUAAAGACUCAAAUUCUUAAUGUGUGUUUGUUAAAGUUUCUCUACCAUCAGCUCCUCUACCAAUAGCUUCUCCACCGGAAGUUAAAGUUCUAUAUCAUUAAAAACAUAAAGCCGUUGCACAUUCUUCACCAGUUCAUCAAGGUAAAAACAACAGGUUUAUUUUUAUUUUUAACUUUUGCCAAGCUAAAGAACAUAUAAGACCUAAUCGCUUCAAGUUCAUAAAAUAUAUGAAAAAAGCUAUGUUCUUUAAUUAUUGUUAUAGGAAAUCUAGGAUGACACCUAAACCUAAAGUUGAGACAAAUGACAAUAAAUUUAAAACCACUUGGAUAAGAAAGACUAAUUAUAAAGCCUAUAUUUCUUUUAUUUCUUUAAGAGUUUGUGCUAUUGACUUUUGGUACUUUGAUGGUGGUCGUUUUAGACACAUGACAGGCGAUAGAGGUGCCUUUAUCAAUUAUAAAAAAAUUGAUCGAGAAAAUGUGACUUUUGUUGAUGGUGUGAAAGGUCGUGCACUUGGAAAGGGAAAACUGAAUGUAGAAGGUUUUCCAAAGCUUGACAAUGUUCUUCAUGUGAAAGAUCUCAAAGCAAAUUUACUCAACAUUAGUCAAAUUUGUGAUCAAAUGUUGUUUGUCAACUUUGAUAGAAACAAAUGUCAUGUUCUCAGUGUUGAUGAAAAUUUCAUUUUAGAAGGACAUCAAUCAUCUGAUCAUUGCUAUUAAUUGACUAGUUUAAUUAUUUAUCAUAAGACCACUCUUAAUGAUACAUACUUAUGGCAUAAAAAGCUUCGUCAUUUGAACUAUAAGUUACUAACUAAAAUUGUGAAAAUAGGUGCUGUUAAAGGAGUACGAAUGCUAAAAAAGAAACAACUUGGAGUAUGUGGUUCAUGUCAAUAUUGCAAACAACAAAGGGUGUCACAUAAUGCCAGUGGAGAUUGAACAACGUCUAAGGUUCUCCAGCUACUUUAUAUGGACCUUAUGAGACCAAUGCAAGUUGAACGUUUAGCUAGAAAGAGAUAAGUAUUUGUGUGUGUAAAUGAUUUUUCUAGGUAUACUUGGGUUGAUAUUAUUCAAGAAAAACCAAUUACAUUUGAUGUGUUUAAAAAGCUUUGUGAAAAGAUAAAAAAUGAACAAGAUUGCAAUAUUGUUAUAACUAGGAGUGAUCAUGAGAAAGAAUUUGAAAACUCUACUAGUUUUGAGAAAUAUUGUAAUUUACAUGGAAUUUCACAUAAAUUUUCCUCCAUUAUUACUCCACAACAAAAUGGUGUUGUAGAAAGAAAAAAUAGGUCCUUAUACGAAAUGGGCUCGAGUGAUAUUGAACUCGAAGAAACUUUUAAAGAGUUUAUGGGCUGAAGCUUUUAACACUACCUACUACACUAUUAAUCGUGUUAAUCUUCACUAAGAAAACUCCCUAUGAGUUAUGGAAAGGUAAGAAAUAUUAUCUAAAUUACUUUCAUAUUUUUAGGGGUAUGUACUUUGUAUUAACUAAUUGUGAGAAUCUUGGUAAAUUUGAUUAAAAAAGUGAUGAAGGUGUUUAUCUUGAUUAUUCCAAUAAUAGUGGAGUAUUUCGUGUUUAUAAUAUGAGAACUCAUAGCAUUAUUGAAUCUGCAAAUAUAGUUAUUAAUGAUUAUCAAGAUUUUGUAGAUUACUCAGUUGAGAAAGAAAUAAUUAGUUUUCUAGAAACACCAAAGAUUGUUUUAAUUGCUCUUACAAAUCAAAUCACUGAGAAAGGUCAAUCCAAUAAGCCUUCUUUGAAAGAAAAAGAACCAGUUGUAGAAGACACAACUAAAGAAACUUCAAAAACUCCAGGAAUUGUGAAAGCGAAUGUUUUAAAGGUUUAAGCAAUCAUGGAAUUACAUGAUCCAAUUAGAAAGUAACCAUCAUCAAAAGUUAAAAAGAAUCACAAGUUUGAUCCUAUUUUAAGUAAUCUUGAUGAAUACAUGGUUGCAAGGAAAAGGUAUGCAAAUAUGGUAAGAUUUACUUGCUUUACAUCAUUGUUUGAAUCUAAGAAUGUUAAGGAAGCCUUGAUGAAUUUUGGCUUAAAGAUACGCAAGAAGAGGUAGAACAAUUUAAAUAAAAUGAUGUAUGGAUGCUAGUAUCUAGACCUAGUCAUACUAAUGUCAUAGGAACCAAAUGUAUUUUUAAGAAUACAACUAAUUAAUUUGAUAACAUAGUGAUAAAUAAAGUUAGGUUGGUUGCACAAGGUUACACACGAGUCAAAGUUGUUGAUUUUGAUAAAACAUUUUCAUCAGUUACAAGACUAUAGUCCAUUCAUUUGCUUCUUGUAGUUGUUGUCUAAUAGGCUUUAACUUAUUUCAAAUGGAUGUCAAGUGUGCCUUUUUUAAUGACAUUUUGAAUAACGAUGCCUAUGUUAAACAAUCUGAAGGUUUUGAAGACGCCCAUUUCUCAAAUUAUAUUUGUAAAUUGAAAAAGGUUUUGUAUGGUUUAAAGCAAGCUCCUCGAGCUUGGUAUGAAAGAUUGACUAAGUUUUUGCUUGAAAAUGGCUAUGGAAAAGGAGUUUAAGAUGAGCAUGGUGGGUGAAUUGACUUACUUUUUAGGUUUACAAGUGAAACAAAUGAAGAAUAAAAUUUUUGUCAAUCAAACCAAGUAUGCCAAGAACUUAGUUAAGAUAUUUGGCUUAGACUUAGCAAAACACAUGAGAACUCCUACGGGUACUAAUAUUAAGUUGACUAUAAUGAUUCUAGUAUGGAUCCCAGUCUUUACAGAAACAUGAUUGGUAGCUUACUUUAUGCGACUACAAGUACACCAGACAUGUUUCAGUGUUGGUGUAUGUGUUAAGUACUAAGUGAAUCCAAAGGAGUCACACUUUGUAGUUGUUAAACAAAUCAUUUGUUUUGUCAGGAGGACAAUCGAUAAUAGUAUUUGGUACAUUAAUGAGACUAAUUCAAGUCUUGCAAGAUAUAAUAAUGCAGAUUGGGCUAGCAAUGCUGAUGAUAGAAAAAGCACCAUUGGAGGAUGUUUUUAUCUUGAAAAUAACUUAGUGUUGUGGCAUAGCAAGAAACAUAAAUCAACUUCUCUCUUUAUGGCUGAAGCUAAAUAUAUUGCAGCUAGAAAUUGUUGCACCCAAUUACUCUAGAUGUAACAAAUGCGUGGAUUAUGAUAUAUUUUAGAAUGCUUUGACUCUAUUUUCUGAUAACACUAUGCUAUCAAUAUUUUCAAAAAUCCUCUUCGACAUUCUAGGACUAAGCAUAUUGAUAUUCAUCAUCAUUUUAUUAGAGAUUUAGUUGAGAGCAAGAUUAUGUCCUUAGAAUACAUUGAUACUAAAAAAUAGCUUGCAGAUAUCUUUAUAAAAGCUUUAGAUUUUAAAAGACUCUUUAAGGACAACUUUGGGUGUGUGUUCUAUAUAAGUCAAAAUGUUUUUGCAUUUAGAUUUAAGUCAUUCAUUUUUGCAAUAGAUAUAGGUCAUGCAUUCAUGUGUUUUUUAAUUUUUGAGUCUUCGUUUUUUGUGUUUUUUUGUGAAAAAUUGGUAAGUUCCUAGAUUAAUAAACGACAAGCAAUUUUUCUUGUUUUAAAAGACUCGAAAGCUUUGAACAAGAUUCCAUUAGAGUUACUUAACCUUUUUUCAAAAGCACACGAAUUAUCAUUCAAUCUUUACUUUGACUCAAGGUUUGAUAUUGACAUGAUCUUUGUUGAGAAUAUUAAAUUUGAGUUAUAAUUGUUUGCCUUAAUUCUUAUCUUGUCAUAAUUACCUACAACUCUUAAUAAUGAAGCUAUCCUUGAGUGAUAUGAGUCUACGUAUCACAAAUAUGAUAGAGGACGAACCACCAUGAGAAGAAGGCUACCUUAAGUGAUAGAGUAAAAGCUCGUAAAUAUAGACAUUUUUUAAUUAUCAAUAAGCUAAAUUAUUUUCCAAAAUGAACUUGUGCUAAAUUGCAAAAUCCGAAUGGAUAGCAAAGUUUCACUUCACACAUAUGUCUAUCAUUUUUGAAAUGGUCAAAAUUAGAUAUAAAGAUGAUAAGGUUAGUUUGACCAACUUCAUGUUUUAUAUUUGAAACUUUGACUAUGAAUAUUGAUAAAUUUUUAGGGAAAAGAUCUUAAUUGAAUUGCCUCGUACACCUACAAAAACUUACAUUUCUCUAAUCUUUACUUAUUUGAGGAAACUAGAGUCUUAACUUCAUGGAUUAAUGCUUGUUGUGGAAAAUUCCCUAAUACAUUGAUUUUUCACUUGUAUAAGUUUGUUAUUAAUGCAUAAAAAUAAAAAUAAAAAUUCAUUUUUGAAAAUUUUGUUCAUGAUGCAUGUGCAUCAUCAUGUUCUUACAUAUUGGUAUGAUUUUAGAUUUAAGAGUUACACAGUUUUGAAGCAAAACCUUAAUUUUGUUUUCUGAAGUGCAUUAAAUUGUUUCUGCCAGUCAAAACUAAACAGGUUGCAUUCGUUUGGUCAUAACGUUGUCUAUAGAACUCCAAAUUCAGUUCUGUAAAAUUCUAACAAAAGGUAAUUCAAAGAUCUUUCCAACAUUAAUAUAUGGAUUGCAUUCUAAUCCAUCCAAUUCAUUCCCAAUUUAAUUUUGAAUUUUAUUCAUCUGUACUGUGUUUUCGAUUCAAAAUAUUAUCAUGCAUCUCAUUCGAUUUUUUGCAUUUCACUUGAUAUUAAUGACUUAUUUGUGUUAGAUUAUACUUUCUUAUCAUUCUUCUACUUAGUUUAGGAUUGAUGGUGUCUUAACUUGGAUCAAAAUCUUCUUUCUCAAUCCUUACCUUGUGAAAGUAGGAUUUCUACUCCUCUUUGAACUAGAUUGACUUAUCGAUAUAAGGAAGCCUCUAAGAUCAUUUAUUUUCACUCAAUUUUCUUGGCUUCCUCAUUAUAAUUUCAGCUGGUUUAAAUUCUUCACUUUUGCAAACUUUUGGCAAGAGAGGGGGAGAUUUAAAACAAAGUCAUCAUCAACUGUAUGAUGCAAUAAGUUAGGGGGAGUCGUAUAUCAAUUUUAGGGAGAGCUUUAUUUUUGUUAAAGAACUUUUUAGAUCUUAGGAUUCUAACUCUUAGGGGGAGUUUAUCUUUUUAUUGAUCUUGAUUUUGUGCUUAAUAUUGUCUUGCAAUUUAUUGAUUAACAAAAUAAGUAUUUUAUUUUUAAUUAUUGCAUUGGUUUAUUUGAUGGACUAACAUGCUAAUUGCCUAUUAUUUUGGUUAGUUCUUUAUUGUUGUUUUUGCUUGUUUCAGAUUCAUGUUUUAGUGCCAAGGUUUCAUUGAAGACGUGUAUAAGAUUACUUUUGCCACAAGGAUGCCAAAAGGGUAGAUUGUUAAGUCUAUUAUUUAUAAAGUUGGCAUCUUACGACAAGUUUAGUUAAAUUAGAAUUUUAUUGAUGAAUAUCUUGUAAUAGGGUUUAAUUUAUUAAUUCCUUAAUUUCGUGAAAUUUUAAUUUAUUAGGAAUAUUUGUUUCCUAGUUUAAUUAGAUGUUUAAUUUAACAAGUCAAUUAGCGACAGAUUCUAUAAUUGGUGCGUAAGAUUUAUUUAGAGCAAGAAGCUAGUUCAAACAGGAAGUUUAUCAAAUGCUCUAGAUAUUUCUUAGGAGACAAGUAAGACAAAAAUAUCAUAUCUAUUCUUAUUCAGAUUUUUAGGAAUUAUAAGAGAAAAAAAAAUUUUGUUUACAAAGAAUCCACAUCUUUUAAGACUUGUGAUUUUUGUGAAACUCUAAUACCUAUAUAAAGAGAGGUAUUCCACAAUUGAAGUAACACAAAACAGAGCAUAAAGUAGAGAAGCAAAAUUUGGCCUCCUCUAUAAAGAAUCCGGAUUUGGCACACGAUGUUGUGUUUAUUUGUUUUCUUGUCUUCUUCAUUCAUGCCUUGUAACGAAAUUGUUUUAUUUUUUUAUCUCUGUGGAGAGUCUAUAUAGAUCUUGUAUCACUAGAUAUUAAAGAAUUGAAGAAUUAUUAUUGAUCACUUUGCGAAGUGCCUUGAAGAUCGAGAUCAAGAGAGGUAGCAGUUAUUCAAGAGAAGCAGAUUCAGUCUAAGGUUGAGUAAGUUGUAUGGUCAUAAAUUGUAAAUGAGAGUCUUAAGUUCAGUAAAUUCAUAUGUUGUAACACUUCAAAUUAGUGAAUUACUUUUCUAGGCAUGGCCUCGUAUAUGUAGGAUCGAUUAAUCCAAAUCACGUAAAAAUCUCCAUAUCAUUUAAUUUCUACAAUUUAUUGUUUUCAGCAAAAUUAAUGGUUUGAUGAGGAUGAACAGUAACAUAAACAGUACUCAUGAGUAGUUACUGUAAACAAUAUUCAUGAAUAGUAACUGUGAACAGUAAAUUAAUUUUAUGUUUCUAAUAUAAUUAGGUUAAUUAUCUUGGAAAUUUUCUCAGGCUUCACUCUAUUAAGAAAUUAAUUAAUUAAGUCAUUGAUUAAUUAGUUCUUGGAUUUUAAUUGUCUAUAUCUAUUUGUAAUAGAUCAAAAUUUUCUUUCACUUUUUACUUGCACCAAAUGCCAAAAUUUGUUAGUUUUAUCACUUUUCUUAGCAGAAACCAUUUUUUUUCUUAAAUUUUUUGCAUCAAUGGGUUAUUAUGAAAACCAUAAAAGAAAAAUGAUAAAACUAAAGAAUUAUAUGGAAAAAGUGGCAAUUACACUUAUCUGAUAUAUUUUACACACUCAUUUAAUAAAUUUAAUAAAUUGAAAUGAGAUACGUCAGGAGAAAAAAUUAUGUAUGAUGGUGACCAUAUUGUAGCAAGAUGCAUGAAAUCUCUGAGUGUCAUGAAUUGUUCAGGAAGAUUUUGUAAGGAUUGGUUAUCUCUGUGCUCUAAAACGUUAUCAAUUCCGAUGUCAACUAUGUCUAAGGAGAUGAAAAUGAUUUCCUAAUUAAUCUGCCACUAUCUGUGCAAGACCAACAUCGCAUGUAAUGCUGAUGAAGUGUGUUAAAUUAGGAAGAUUAAUUAAUUAAAAUUAAUUAAAAUAAAUAAAUGCGAAAUAAAAAUAAAUAAACUGAAAAUUAAUUAAUUAAAAUUAAAAUAUUAGACACAGCCAUAAAAACAAAAUAAUUAAAGGCAAACAAUAAAUAACAUAUUAACAAAAUAUUAAUAAUUCAGGUAGUAUUUUAAAACCAUCCAUAUAAUAAAAUGUAAAUUAAUUGUGGAAUAAAAGUUAUAUUACAAUUUAGGUGGUAAACCGACCAUAUAAAUUAACAAAUAAAAGAAAAAGUGUGGAAAUUAAAGGAAAGAAAGAAAAAAAAAAAUACUUACCUCAAGAGGUGGAACUUUCGCCUUUUUUUUAAAACAACUUUUAAGAAUUAUCAGCCAAUUAAAUUAAGUUAUGGGCCUUAAUAGUAAUUUUAAAAGCCUAAUUAAAUUCAAGUCCAUUAUGUCCAUAAAGUCAAAAAAUCCGAGUUCACAUAGUUCUACAAUUCAAAAGUACAAAGAAUAAGUUAUAAUCUAAAGAUUCAAGUUCCAAUUUAGUUUAGGGACUGAGUUGCAACAGUUUUUAGUUUAAAAUGAGAUUCUUCACAAGUUUUAUAGCAAUUCUAUGAUUACAAGAGAGAAGAAGGAGCUAACUGAAAUUUUACGAAAGAAAAAUUAGAACCAAACAAAAGAAUGACGUAAAUGAGGAUGCAAAACAUAGAUAAUAAUUGACAAAAGAGAAUAAUAAAAUAGAAAUGAAAUUGACACCAAUUAAAACUUGACACGACUCAAAAGUAUUAUUUACUCUCAAGUAUAAGAGUGUUUGGUUAUAAUAUAACUCAGUGAGUCUGGGGCAGUAGCGACUCGACCUCUAGAUAAUUUAGGCAGUUGCCUAGGGCUCCGCUUUACAUGAAAGCUACACGAGAUGAUUAUUGUGUAUAUAAAGGGAGAAAGUGAAUUUAAAAGUCAUUAUUAUUUAUUUAAUUAUAUUUUCCUAAAUAAACUAUCAAAUUCCUAUAAAGUUUAUUUAAUGUAGUACUUAGUAAUUUUAAUUUGUACAAAACCAAUAAAUUAAUAGUUUCAAUCCUACAAAUUCUCUAUUUCAUUGUUAGAAUUAAUAUGUUAUAUUUCAAAAGUUUUAUAUUCAUUUUAAACUUCUAUAAAAGCCCCACAUUUUAUUACUUAUCCAUUAAAUUUUUCUUCCAACAAUCAAGACAUGAUAUGUUCUUGGUGUUUGAGAGAAAGAAAGAGAGAGAGAGGGAAAAAACUCUUGCUUCCUCUACUUUCCACUCUAGAAGAAAAAGAAAAAAUCUUAUAGUUCUCUGUAUUCUCUAUGAUUAUUGGUCAUUACUCAAAUCCUCAAACAAUUAAUAUAAACAUAAGUUAAUUUAUGAUUUCAUCUCAAAUUUCAGAUUUUAUCUUUUUAUUAUUCUCUUAAUUAGUUGUGUUAUUUCUUUUUUCUUAUUUCUUUUUAAUAUAUUAUUUUAUUCAUCUAAUUUUUCUUGUGUGUGCUUGUUUUAUAUAUUUUGAAAUAAAACUAUAUUGAAAACUUUUAGAGAAUAGAACAAUAGAAAAAUUAGUUUAAUUUAGAAAAGGAGUAGUAAAAAAGAUAUAAUUUGAGUUAAAAAAAUAAGUGGAAAUGUUAUAAUUGAAUUAAAAUUUCAUGGAUUAGCAACAAUAGAAUAGAAUUUUAUUUAAUAAUUUUACAUUUUAGAGUGUUUAAAGAAUUUUUUUUCAAUAAAUAAUGUAUAUUAUCCUAAAUUUUAAGAAAAACUAAUUAAAACCAUUUGCCUAAACCCUCAAAUAUAGUUGAGCCGACCCUGGUCUGGGGUUGGACCACAGGAAAAUUAAAAUCUAGUACUCAAUUACUAAACAAAGAAACUUACGUAUAGGAAAAGAAAUUAAUAGGAAUCAAUCUAAAAAUAUGCUAAAAUUACGUGAUCUAGUCUUGGAUUUCAAAUUAUGGUUAUAACACUCUCUCAUAUUUGUAUUUUACAUUUAUUUUGCCAGUUAAUUAUUAUGUCCUUAAUUCUUAACUAACCAUUACUGUGGAUAAAUAUGGAACCAAGUAUCUAAUGUGCUGCAACUAUAUUAAAGUGUCAAUAUUAUGUCAAAAUACCAUAUAAAUCUGAUGACAUCUAAAUCUAUAAAUUAACAUGAUAUAAAAGAAACUGGUAAGGAAAAAAUACAACAAAUAAAAUAAACUUUAAGACUCACUUGAGAGAGUAUUUAAUUAAUAAUUUGAAUUAUUGAACUUCACCUUUCACCGCAGCUUAGAAAAUUAGCCACCCAUAUUGAUAAACAAAAUAUUCAUUUUAUUUAACAAACUUCUGAAAUAUACUACAAAAAAAUUAACUACAAAAGAAUAAUUUUUUUUUCUAAUUUCAGUCUCAACUCCUCCUCUUCUCUACCCUCCCCCUUUCCAUCUCCAUAUUCUUGCCUUUUAUAGGCAACUAGUCAUGCCAUCUUCUUUUAUUUUAUUAUUAUUUAUUUUUUUAUAAUAUAUAUACAUAGAAAUGCAUGGUAGUCAAGUGGCGAAAUGCCCACCUGAUUGUCGCGAGCCUGUUGCUCACUUUCCUUUUCUUUAUUUUUUUAUGAAUUACAUUUUCUUAAUAAUGCAUUCCAAAUGGCUCUAGCAAUUUUUCUUUAUUUCCCGCUUUCAAUUCCCAUUCUCUCUUUAUUCUUGAAAUAUUUACAAUAUAAAAAUUAACAUAUUGCAAAUUAACAUAAAAAUUUAUUAGGCGAGUAUUAAGAUAAUUUAGGAAUAAUGAGCACAUUAAUUAAUAUUGUAAAUGAAAAACUGAUAAUUUUAUAUUUAGUAAAUGUACACUUUUUAGUGUUAAUCAAUUAUUAACUUUGUGUGCUUCUUUCUCUUGACUUGAUGUAUAUUUAUCUCUUAUACAUCCAUCUAAGUCAUUUAAUUUGUUUAAAAAUAAACACCUAAUAAAUAUUGUAUUUAAAAAUUUUUACUUGACAAAGUUUUCAGGCUGGAUAAAUAUCACGUUUAUUUAUUCAUAAUCAAGAUUUAUUUAAUUAUUAUGUUCUCAUUUAUUAGCUAGUAAUCAUAUAAGUGUAUUUACUUAGAUAAAAGAUGAGAUUAGGAGCCUUGCCCCACUAUUAAAUAUAGAAUCUAUAGUGUUCCUAAAACACUGAACUUUUUCUAUUCUCUUAAAGCACCCAUGAGUUUUCCUCAAGCUUGACAAUUGGGGUACAAUUUCUAGCUUUCAAUAUUUUGGUCCAACUAGAAACCUAGAACGACAAGUGGAAUAGAGUAUGUCUCCCUGAAGGCGACAUUGCAGUAGAAGAUACAGAGCGACUGGAAGAAAUACAAGUAUAAUGGUAAGCAUAGAGAAACAAUUCAUUCUAUCACGAUAAGCCAAGAAAAAACUUGAGCUAAAGGAUAGCAUCAUGGUUGCUAAAGCUAUGAAGAGUGUUAAGAGUCCGAAUGUUAACUUGAAUGGUAACCGCUUCAGAAAGUCAUUUUCUCUGUAUCGGGACGUGAUCAGAAUGGACAAGAACAUCAACAUUGAGAUGCAAGAGCAGGAAAAUGCGAUUGCUUCUGACAUGACAAAAAUAUAAACCAAAUCUUUGAGUGGAAAUUGGGCGUUCCUUCUCCAUCUUUGUUGCUACCUGGUGGAGUGAAAGCUGCCUGAAACACCCCGGCAGUUGCUAGUGUUGCAACUAUCGAGCAUGACUCUGCUCUACUCUUCAUCCAUUUUUCAGCUUCUUCCAACAACGUUUUGUGCUCAUCGGUGAAUAACUCCCAUGGUGUUUUGCCAUCAUUAUUCUUCAUUUCUUUGAAAGAAGGUUUGACGAUGGUUUCCACCUCCUACCAAUUAAUAACAUUUUUAAUAAAAAUGCAAUAUUAAGAAGUAUAUAUAUACAAAAAUUCUUAGGUGCCAAUGUUUGCACUUCAUAGAAUGCAUACUUUUACCUUUAUAGUUAUAUCGAUGCAAAGUCUUUUACAGUAUUAUAAAAGGUCUUUACACUAAUGUAAGAGAGCGCUGUACUUGAGAAUAAUUAUAUAUAUGGGAGAGGUCCCUCAACAUAAGAUUUUGAUGUAACAAAGUAAAUUAAUUUUUUAUCCAUGAGAUUCACUCAAUCCUAUAUAUAUAUAUGUUUACAACGCUGUGGAAGUAUAUACAUACUGUUGUUAACUUGUUCCAGAUUUUAAUAAAAUCCAAAAUUUUGAAACUUAAGAACGAUCAUAUAACGACUCUAUAUAUGACACGAUUGAAUUAGGUAAAAAUAAUAAUACAAAUUAACUUCUUCCUCAAAAGUGUGUAGGAGGGGUUCCUCUUUGUUAUCAAAAGGCCAGCCAAAUGUACCUAGCUAUAAAUCAAGUAAUUGUUAACUACGACCAUAGUGAAAUAAUAAAUAAAACAUUUACCUUAAAAGUUAUUAAUUCUUGCUGCAUUUCUAGAGCUGCUCCGGGCACCUUACUGAUUGGUUUUGGAUUUGAAUAUUGUGCUGCUAGAUGCAGUAAGUUAUUACCAGACACAUCUACAUAUGUUGCUAUCAACUCCUUAUCAAAGCCCAUCUCAUAUAUUAGUUUGAAGGUAUCUGCAUGACGGUGCAUAACUGCAAUGUGAAAUAUGCUUCGACCAUUUUCAUCUAAUUGAUGAACCAAGUCAGGAUAAGAACGAGUGAGCACAGCCAAGAAUUUGAAGUUCCCCGAGUGAGCUGCAUCGAAUAAUAAUUUUGAAGGUUUACUGAUAAGUUUCAGGACGUCCUCGUGUGUGCUUUUUGAUAUUUCUUUCCAAAGACAUUUGACUAAUUCAAGUGCCUGAGUUGAAGAGUCUGUAUUGUUGGUGAUGAACUUUAUUCCUGGAACUGAAAGACAGAAAAUUACAAGUUAUCAUUUAAGAGCUCGCAGUAGUAAAUCAACAUGGUUUGCUAUCAAUACUCGAUCCAAUUUCUUAGCCUGAGGAAAACAUUAUUAUGCACAUGAUAAGGAACAUAUCCCACACUGAGAUUAGUUACAUCAGCUAAUAAUAUAAGCCUAACUCUUACUUUUUUACCUAACUUUCAAGGAUGAGUUAGACUCAUAUAAAGCUUUUAUAUGGUAGACUUAUGCACAAGUGAGCCACAAUAUCUUUGCUUAAAGCGUGACAAGUACUAAUAAAAAAGACUGGCUUGUAUAUAAUGGUGAUGAGGAACACGUCAUUAAUAGUGUUACUGGUCUAACCAACUCUUGAGGUAGUAACUCAUAUGCGCUAUCAUCAUUACUGUAGUACUAGCCUACUAGCGUAAUAUUUGAAGAGGGGAAAAUUAGUAUAUUUUGCAUGGUAAAUUAAAUUUUAUUUGUGUCUCUUGUCUUGUUUUGUAUCUUGUCUUGUUUUGUAUACAUAGAUAGGAGAGAAACUUAUAUAAGUCAAGCAUAUUGAAUCAGCAUAAUAAGUUGGUGCGUUUGACCAAUAAGAAUUUGUCAUUUGAGUAGGUUAAGUGAGACCCACCAACUUCAAUUACAAGAUUUUUAAAGUAAAACGUACCCACCCAUCCCAAACGACAAGAUUAUAUUGAUUGGUCUUACUACCUCAACAUCCUCACAUAGAUAGAUAGAGAUUGAAUAUAAUCACAACUUAUAUAUGUACUUUAAUUAAGCAUAAUUAAAACCUAAUUACCUUUCAACCAUCCCGGACAACUGCUGGUAAAUGCUGAGGGAUUUCUAGCGAACAUAUGCAUAGCUGCCCCGUAUUUCGCAUGAGUAGCCCCAGCUAGCAGCUUUUUAUUCUUCUUUAGCAAUUGCAGCGCCAAACCUGAGCAAUUCACUCAAAUGUUUUUGUAAAACAGCAGAAAACAUGACUCUUCAAACUGAUUUUGGUUCAACGAGGCGAUAAUAAUGUCAACACUGUAAGCACAUGCAUGACGAAGCCAAAAUAUAGAAUUUACAGUUAAAAGCAUGAAAAGAAAAGAAAAAUGAGCUAAUUUUUAGUUAAUAUUCUAAUUCUUUUUCGGCCUAGGAUUCCUACGCGUCAACAUGUUCAAAAAAUUAAGGUAAAUGGGAGUCAUACGUGUUGAUAAAAUAAAAUAAAAUUUUUUGUCUUGUUUCAUAUAGUAUAAAAAAGACCAAAAAAAAAAAAUUUGUUUGAUAACAACUUUAGGAAUUACUGACCCUUAGAACCACUUUAGAAUUGUGUCGCACUCAAUUAUGAAAUGUACGCAACACAUUUGGCCAUUUCUUAUUAGUUAUAAAAUAGUGCCGAACGGUUAUAAAAUUUUAUAAAUCAUUUAAACGGAUACAGGUUUCUCCUAAAAAGUUAGCUUUUCUUUGGGGGAUCAUUCAAUAAAAAGAAGAAAUUGAACAUAUUCUUACCAUACAAACCAGUUUCGAUGGACACAAAAAAAGUAUUUUCUAGGUCGUCUGGUUCCAAAUUGUCUUCAUUUUGACGAUAUAAAAAUGAUGCCAUUUUACUUUGCCCAAACAAAACAGCAAUGUAGAGCGGCGUCAUCUGCCCACCGCCUCGGAUUGUCAACAAAUUUGGAUUCCUUUACAGCAUAAACUGAGCGAUUUCUACACUCCCAACAGCAGCAGCGAAACAGAAUGCUGUGUUUCCAUUUUCAUCUUGCAACGUUAGCAAGUUGUCAUGGCCCGUCAAUUCUACCAUUUGCUUUACAAAGUUUGUUUGUUUUGCUCCUGUUGCAACGUGAAGAAUAGUUUGAUAUCCCUUUGUUACAGCUGCACGUACCAUCGACUGAUGAUCGUCUCCUAAUAUACGUUUUGCUUCGUUGCAGUCACCUUUUAAUGCAGCCUUAUAGAGAGGCACACAUUUGUGGCUGUACAGUUUUUUAUCUGCAACUCAAUUUUGGUGGGUCCAUGUUCGUAGCGUUCAUGCAAAAAUAAAACAAAUUAGACAUCCACUCUUCAAAAUAUAUCAAUUUAUAAUGCCUUAGUUUUAUCCUUUAACUGAAUGAAGGAAUCCCUUAUUGAAAGAUUACUAUAUUUAGGAAUAUGUUUAAGUGUGACGAGUACAAAUUCUUUCACAACUUUUGUAAAAGUGUGUUCUCACUUUAUAAUAAAGUGCAAAUAUCCGUAUCUGAGCAUAAUUUUUCGAAGAGGAAGCUCUCAUUUUACUAAAAUAAAAAACAAACUAAAAGAUAGAAAAAAAAUACAGUUUUCAAAGCAAUGUUUAUUGUCUUUAAUUUUAACAGAUUAAAAUUUAUAUUUUUCUAUGUUUUAGCUCGGUUCUCAUUUAUUCCUAAUUAAAAAUGGACUCUAUAUGCUGAUAAGCCAAAAUGGUAUGCAUGAAUGUUAAUGUAUAAGAACUCACCUUGAAGUAGAUGAAGGGAUGGCAAGUUGAAUUGAGAUGAAGUACCACCCUGGUUUGUGUCUGAGUCAGGGGCCUGAGUGGAAUUAGAAUUUAUAUCUGGCGUUUGGAUUGAAGAUGAAGAAGAAGUUGAAUGCACAAUGUUUGCCUCCAGAAGUCCUAUACAUGUAUAUGUAUGUAUACAUAUAUGAAGAUGUGUCAUUGUUUCUUUUUUGCAACAGUUAAUAGUUACAUCUUUUGUAAUUAAGGAUUAAUGGUGCUUGAAAAAGCUGAAUCACACAUAUAACAAGAACAAAGUCAGUAGUGCUUAUACUCGACUCUUAAAUUACCAUUUUGGAGGGGUUGUACAGAAUUAGCCGCAUCUCCGUCUGGUAUUGAGAUACUAACUUCUUGCUGCGAUGCAGGAGCUACAUUGGUACGUCUUCUCUCCAUUUCUUCCGAAGCAACGUCAUUGGUCACUUUAAAUAAUUAAUGCACCAUAUAAACAUGAAGUACUGAUGCAAAGCAGGACAGACAACUAUUAUAGUAAAGACACUUUAUCUAUUCUACGAAUAUCUUAUUUGAUAUAUUUUCAUGUUAGUAGUUUUAUUGUCUAAUUGUUUUGUUUUAGUGGAUUUGCAAGCCUAGGUCACAUGCGAGGCUUGGGUUAUAUAUUAAUAUAAAUAAGCGUAUUUUAUACCUUUAAUUUAAAAUCUGACUAGUGACUUGAGAUUUGUUAUUAAUACUUUCUAUAUAAUAAAUUUAAAUUUCGAUCGGUCUUGUUAUUUCUUGGUAUUAUGUGAAUUAAGGAGACUUAAUUGCCUAAAUUCGUGGAUACUCUUAUAAUCAGCGAGAAUUUUUAUUUCAGUGCUCUUAUAACCAACAAAGUUUUGAAAAUAUCCGUAUUAAUCUAUCACCAUACAUCAAUUUAUCCUUUUGCCGCCGAAAGAUUUGCUGCAGGGGGUCCAUGGAACACGUUGCAUCAAAGUAUAGAGUAAACUUACUCCUUGUAAGUAAAUAUAGCAAUUUUUUUCUUUGACUAAUCAUGUUAAUUAUUUUUCCAUUACUAAAACAAUUCUCCAUUGCUAUUAUUAUUAUUAUUUUUUACAUUCAUUCUCUUAUAUAUAUGCAUAGAGAGAGAACUUAUUCGAGAAGGAUUCAGUACUUUAAUGAAAUGCGAGAUGAUCUUUUACAAAAAAUAAACUAUUUAUAGCAUUGUAAAAAAUCUAUUCCAUUUUUUUUUAAUUGCGAGAUUUCUUUUUAGAAACUCAAUAUAGAAGUAUGUAUAUAAUCAGCUUUUAGUUCUAGAUCUUGUUUACAGCCAUCAUGAAUUGUCUUUUUCACACAUUUACAACUUUUUAACAUUGUUACUCAAAUAUAUAGGGGGGAGAGAGAGACGAGGAGCUUAAUUACCUCAUUUGACUCUGGGGCUUGUGUCGAAUUAUGUACUUCUAAAGUUGUGAUUGAAGAUGAUCCAUAUUCUAUAUCUGAAUGAUGCAUUGAAUUGACAUCGCUUGCCUCCAUACACAAAAGUUAAUGAUGCAUAAAUUAAUAAAAGUUCAUGCAUAACUCUCUUACUACAUCUAUAUCAAGCAAAAUUGUACUAAAAGUUAAUAACUUUGAAUUGAUUUAAAGUAUCAGUUGAUUAUAUUCAACAAGGAUAGUAAGUUCAGAAAUUAUUUGUAUAUUUAUUAAAAAUUAUCUAUUCCAAAAUCCUGAAGUAGGUAAGCACUAUAUUUAUAUACCCCAUAAAAUUUUCAUUAAGAGGAAGACAAUUUACCCAAAAAUUAAAGAAAAAAGAAAAAAAAAAGCAUAUGGUAAUGUAGAUGUCCUCACAAAAUUAUCAAUCUAUGUAGCUAGGUACAUAUUGACACAAACAAAUUUGACGCUUUCAGUGAUGGUCGAACAAUAACCUGAGUAACUGAAGAUAUGUAACUUGAAGAACUUGUAGAAAGAAUAUUUGAAUAGUGUUGGUCACCACCAGAUUCUGUUUUCGUUUGAGAAGACUUAUCCUUAAUUAACUAGUAAUUAACAUUCCAUGGUAUGCCAGUAUAUAUAGAUCCUUCCUGAUGUGCUUACUUCAAUCCUAAUUAAGGUGGGGUGACAGAAAUAAAGAAUUAAGAACAAUUGAUGUUCCUUUAUUCGAUCCUUGAACAAAUGCUCUCUCAGAUAUAAUAAUUAAAUAAUAUGAGCACUAUCAUUUAGCUUUAAUUUCACGUGGGGUGACUCCCCAAUUGAACCAUACUUUCGGCGCAGAUAAAAAAGAACCCACGGUAAGUGGUUUUGCCAAUUUAUAAGAAGCUCUCUCGUAUAGGUUUGUUUACUCAGUGAUGGAAAAAUUCUCAGGUGCGGUGAUAUGAUUAUUCAAAUUAUUUCUUAGAUUUUUUUUUUUAAUUUAUAUUUCUCGUUUUAGUUGUUAUGUGUACUUCGGCUUAAUAUUUGUGUUAGUUAUCAGUGUUUCUUGAUCUUAAGAAUUGGAUUAUUUUACUCCUAUUCUUUAAUUAGGUUUAAGUUUCAUAUGAAAGUUAACCAAUUAUUUAAACUAGCACUAUCAUCAUCAAUAACAACUCUACAGUAUUGAUUGACAACUAUGGUUAUCUAUUAGUGGUGUUGGUCCUUUAAAGCACCAAUAACAUCUUUAGGAGAUCUAAAUUUCCUCAAAUUUACCUAUCUCUAUCUUUUCUAUUUUUAUUUUGUUUCAGUUUUCAUUACAGACAAUUUGUGUCCAAAAUAUACCAACAUUUGCAUUUCAUGAAAUACUGACACGACUUUCAUAUAACAUUGGAAAACACCUUUAUUAUAUUGUAUAAGCCUUUAUCAACAUUACAAUGAACUUAAAAUUUUGUGCGGGUACAGUACUAGAUAAUGACUCCUUCGUGGCGAUCGAGUAAUCAACUUUAGACUCCUCAUGAUUCACUGUUGCAAUAAAGGCAUAAAGCUAAGAGGAGAGGCUAUGGGCAAUGCACUUUUAAAUAGCUUUAAUUAAUUUGAAGUGGGUCGGAAUCUAUUUAAAACCUCUUAAUUAAUUAUGCUUAAUUUGGAGAGGGUUGCAUGUGAGCACAUCAUGUUAUAAACGUAGCUACAAGGAUUAAUUAUUGCACCUUCACUCAGAUUCUUUGACCAUGUUCAUUUCAUUACCUUCAAGGAAAUUGCCGCUAUGCUUACACAACAACUCAAUGGUCUUUGUAUAACGAAAUUAAUAGUAAGUCUUUACAUAAGGAAAACGUCAGCCACCACCUCAAUGUUCACAAAAAUUUCUUAAUUUCUUAAAUAAUAACAUAGAUUUUUCCUUUUUUUUUUAACUAUUAUACCCUUUAGUUAUAACAACAAAAAAUUGACUUUAAAUAAAUUUUUAGAGUAAAUACGAAUAAAAAUUAAAAUAAUAUAAUAUAUGAAAUAAUGAAAAUUUAUAAAUUAUUUUCAUUAUUAAAUUUUUUUAUUAAUAUGUCAUUUUUUAAUAAUUGUAAAAAUCUUUUUGACAAAUUAAAAAUUUUAAAUUAAUUAUAUUUAACAUUCAAAAUAAUUUAUAAAAUUUAUAUUAUUUUAUUUACAAUUUUUAAUUAUGUCUGUAUUAAUAUAAAUCUUAAUGUCAAUUUUAGGAUUAAUAGAUUUUAGUAUUAAUAAAAUUAAUUAGGAUGGACUAAUAAUAGCUUAAUACUAAAAAUAAUUUUCAUUAUAUAUUUGAUAUAUUAUUAAUUAUACUUAUUGAACUAUUUUAUUUGUAUUAUACAAUAUUUUAUUAAUUAUUUUUAUCUUAUUAAUAUAUAUAUAUAUAUUAGUAUUUAUUUUGACUAUAAUCAAAGGGUAUAACAGUUAAAAAAACUUUUAAAAAAAAUGAUUUUGUAUGACCUUAUAUAAAAUCAAUGGGUUUGUGUGAUCAUUUAAACAAAAACUACGGGUGUGGGUGACUUUUUCCCCUUUAUAUACUUAUGUUGCCUUUCACUGACUUGGUCUUGGUCUUUAAGCGGAUUAAUUGUCGUAUCAAGCAAUCGAGUUACACUUUUCUUUCUGUUUCAAAUAUGGGCAUAUAUCUACCAGGAAAAGAGAAAUGAUAAGAACUAACAGUUAAGUUCUAAUUGGGCAUAUAUCUACCAGGAAAAGAGAAAUGAUAAGAACUAACAGUUAAGUUCUAAUUUGAAUCUUGAUUAAUAUUUUAUUACAAAAACUUUAGUCAUUAAAGAAGAAAAUUAGUCACCUUAUAUUUUUUAUGACGAAAAAUAAAUAAUUUUACGAUAUUCGUGAAAACACCGUCUUAAAAAGUUCUAACGACUAAAAUUAUUUUUGUCAUGUUAAAAAUAUGUUUUUGUGACAAAAAUAAUUGUCUUAAAAUUAAGUUAAAAUUUUCACAAAUGGUAUUCAAAAUGGUCAAAUUGGAGAUUUAAAAAUGCAAUCAAUAGCACUUCACAUUUGUCAUGAUAUGUGAUUUAUAGUGACAAUAAUUUUGUCUCAAGGGUAUGUAAAUGAAGUCACAACAAUUACUAAAAAUCAUCAUUUUAGAGAUUCGAAGAUACAAUCAGCAAUGCUAUUUUUCUGUCGUUGAAGUUUACAUAUCGCGUCGUUACAUAAUCGUCGCAAGUAGUUGUCAUUUGUGACAAGUUUUGCAAAUACAAUUGGUAAUUAUUUUAGUCUCAAAUUUAUUUUAAGUACAAUUUGUUUUACCAUUUCAUGACUAUUUAUAUUGUAUCAACAAAUUUUAAGUGACCAUUAUCUCUUAUCAUAAAAUGUAAGCAUUCGCAACUAUAACAUUUAGUCAGAAAAUUUAACAUGUUGCAACGGAUUCUUUCAUUGCAAAAUAUAGGUAAUAUAGUCUCAAAUUAUUUUUAAGCAUAAUAUACUUUAUUAUUUAAUGAGUAUUUAUAUUGUAUUUGAAAAGUUAAAAUGACUACUUCCAAUUGUCAUUAAAAGAAAGCAUCCAUGACAACAUAUUGUAGUCACAUAAAUAUUUAGUGACCAAAAAAUUUUGAUUCAAAAAACGUAUUCCAUGAAAAUUACUUUCGUUUCAAAUGAAAAUCAAUAUAGUCUAACAUAAUUUUUAAGGAAGAUGUAUUUUAUUAUGUUACAACUGGUUACAUCGUACUAGAAAAAUUGGUGUGACUAUUGAAUACAAGUGUAGUCAUUAAUAAACAAACCAACAACAAUGAGACUAACAUAAAAAAAGACUUUAAAAUAUUUAUUUAUAAUCCAAAAGAUUCGAACACAAAGCAUAACAUUGGAAUAAUCCAAGAUCAAAAGAAUGUGUAAGUGAAAACAAUAGUUGCUCUUUGAUUAAUCUCAUGAAAUCUUCAACUACCUGUAGUCUAUAAUCUUGUUUCUCAAUCUUUUUUUGCUUGCUCCUUAAUCGUCUUCGCCAUCUUUUGAUUUUAUUGAGACAAUUCAACGGUGGAUGCUGACUUUGAAGGACCUGUCAUUUUCUUCACAAAAUCAGAUUUAUUUCCCAAAAUGAUUUCAUAAAUUUGAUUAUCAAUUAAUGGCUCAACACUUUCCUCGGCAUUGGAGUUUUUUCUUCAUUUCUAUCAUUUAGUCCUGCAUAAUUAGAAGUUGAAAAAUUAAUAUACCUUUAAAAAUAAUAAGAGAAUCAUGUCCUUAUUGAAUAAUAAGCCCCAUUGACUAAGAAUAAACAAAUAGUAAAUAGCAAGAUCGAUAGCACUUGUAAAAUAUAUGAGUGAAAAAAUAACACAAAGUAAGAAUGAAACAUUAACUAAAUUUUUCAAGCAAACAUGUUCUCAAUCCCAAAUAUACUUUCCAUUCAAAAUAAAUAUGUAAAUUUAAUUUCUACAAUUAAAUGUAAAUAAAUUGGAAUAACUUACAUAUUAAGCAUUUUGCUUCCAUACUACUCCACCCGUUGGCCUCACUCUAGAACAUCUUUUGAAACAAAGCAAUCAAUCCAGUAGACUCUUCAAGCAUUUCCGUCUUCCUAAUACAAAAGAAGAAAAGCAUUUUAAUAUUUAUAAACAUGAUACAAGCACAUAAUAGAAAAAGUUAAAACAAAGUCUCCAUCAUUUCGAGUACCAUUUCAUUCAGAUAUUGCACAUGAGACUUUGAUCCACCACGAUGUACAGAAGACACUUUACUAUGAUUCUGUUUUUUUUUUUUUCUCCUGAAUUUAGUUUAGUGGCUCUAAAGAAUAAAUUACAUAAAAGCUUGUUUCUAUAGAAUAUUAUAUUACACCAAUUUUUCAAGAAUUACCAUAUAGAAUGAUACAUGAGACCCCGUAGAUAAAAGAAAAAUAAUGUAACACUUGAACCAUAUAUAAAAGCAUAAGAAAAAAGAAAAAGGAAAAAAAGAUGCUAUAUGUAUCAUCUUCUUCUAGUUAAACAAUAUAAACAGAAUAAAAAUAUUAAUAAAUAUACCAAAACCUUCAAAAUUUUCUAAACAUUCAAGUGGUUCAGAUUAGAAAAAUAAAUAAAUUUACAAGAAAAUCAAGUAAGUGUAUUCGUUGCGGUAUUUUAUCAAAUAAUUGGCGUGCAGCAACGUAAAUAACAAUAAAAACAUGCAAGCUUUGUACUUUGAAAACACUCCUCCAUUAUUCAUCCAUUAUAGGGCAUGCACGUUGCUUCUUUUAUAUGCAUCCCCAUCGUUCUAUUAUUUUCAUGCUAUCCAUCCAAACCAUUAGACACAAAGGGUAAAUUAAAAAAAAAAAAGAAUUCAAGGGAAAAAGCAUUUAACUUUGACUCCUAAAAAAUCAAGUGAAUACCAGGAAAAAAAAAAUAGUUAAUUGACCAGGGAUUGAUGCAGAAUAAAACAAAAAUAAGAGUAUGACCUAUCAAAAAAAUGAUCAAUAGGGAGCAGUAUACUAGGAAAUAAACAAGGAAACAGGCCCCCCAUAUAGCAAAACGUUUCUUCACCUUCCCUAUGGAUUCUCAUAGAGUUAUUUGCAAUUCUUCCAAACAAGGGAAGUAAGUGGAAACUAAAUAAAUAAAACUAUGAAGUAAAAGAAAUUUAUAAUACUAUAAUUGAAUGCAUUGUAUUAUGAUACAAGCCUGGAACUAAUGAUAAGUCUUGGCUUUAACUUGAACUACUUACAUAUUGGGUGAUCUUCUUGAAAAUGCUACGCUCUCAGAGAGGACAAAUGAUGCACAUAACAUCCAUUUUCCUGGAACAAAAGACGUACCCUUCGCAUUUCUACAUUAAUUGCAACCUCAGCAAGAGCGAUUCUUAUGCACUGCCGUGAACCAAAAAAUAAAUAAGGGAUACAUAUAAACCCAACAUUCCAUUAAUUCACAAACAUAUAUAUGGAGGGGAAAUUCAGUACUAAACCUCGUGAAAAUCAAACUCCGGAGGCUUUAGAGAAUCCAUGGGCAUGAAUCUUUGGAAAGGUGAAUUUUGUAUCUUCGGGCCUAUCUCUGUAGAUUCCUCUGAAUGCAUCAGCCCAUGAAAUGCGAGGUCAAAGUUUCGCGCAAAAUAGUCCAAUAUCAGAUUUAAAAAUAAUCAAUUGACCAACGAACUUGUAGCCUAAGGUUGCCUUGAUUGAAAACAAGCACUCCAUGGCAGCCUCCUCAAGAUUUGUUUUGAUUAACUGAUUUUAAGUAAUAAGAGGAGGGAUACGGAAGAAAAAAGGGGUUUUCGGAGAUUAGCAGAGACAAGAAAGGUAGGAAUUUAUAAAUUUUUUUGUAUCAAGUAAAAUAUUUUGGGCAAAAUAUAAGACAAGCGCUUGUUUUCUUUUUAGGAGGUUUAAUUUUUUUUUUUUUUUUUUGAUAUUAAUCACGAGGUAUCUUGAGGAGGGCCCCAACUGUGGGAGGCACCUUUAAGCCCGUACCACAACCCAGACUAGAAGUCCCCGCUCGAACCGGGAGGCACAGGUUCUCCCAACAAAAGCGACUUCCCUGCGACUCGAACUGGGGAGCAAACCCAGUCAAGCCACUUAAGGGGACUCCAUUGCCAGUGGAGCCAACACUUUGUUGGUAAUUUUUUUUUUUUCUUUGAUAACAUUUGUAUACUAUCACCAAAUUAAUGUUUCCUUUUGCGGUGCCAUGUGGCACGCGCAACACUACUUAGUGGGAUACAUAGCAUUUAACAUUUACGACUAAUUGAAUAAUAACUAUAACAAAAAUAAAAUUUUAUAAUUGGGAUAUUUAAUUGUAGCAUUUUUUUUUAAGGAAAUGCUAUCAUAGUUGACAUUUAAUAGCGUUGUGAAAAAAAAAUGCUACCAAAAGAAGUGAUAUUUUUUGUAGUGUUUAAAUAUUAGGGACUGUUAUUAAAUUUUUUUUACAAUAUAUUAAAAUUGUCCGCUUGAUUAGUAUUGUGGCUGUGAUAGCAUCCCGUAUCAGUAUUAGUUCGAUCAUUGCCUCCAGCAACUUAAUUAAUAGUCUAAUUAUUAUCUAAUUUGACCACAAAAUCUUAGUGGUCAUUUUUAUAUUUUCUACUAACAUACAUGAAUUUACAGUAUUAAGGUAAUAAUCCUACAUAUUAAAAAUGUUUAAAAGACUAUGACAUCCUUAAUUCAAAGAUAAAUUAUAUUAGUUCGAGUUAUAUUAAAAUAAAUAAAUCUUACAAAAAAAGGAAAAUAAAUCAAUACUUAAUAAAAUAAAGGGUAAAGUUCCAUCCAUCCCUUGGAUGGAAUAAUUUACCCCCCUAAAAGUAUGAAAACUUUAAUUUACCUCUAAUUUUUUAUCAGAAGAUGAGGGCAAAUGGGGCAUGCAUCAAUGAUUUUUUGUUUUAAUCAAAGUAAAUGAUGUCUCUAAAUUAGUGAAAGAGCUUCAAAGAAUAAUGCUUUGUGCCUCAAAUGGUUAGGCCAAAUUCGUAUUUUUUCUUAGUUACAAAACAUUUUCAUAGCCUAUAAUUAUAUUUCCCCGCCCUGUAUUUUCUCAUAAGAGAUGAUAUAUUAUCCCUAAAUGGUUAAAAAAAAAAAUUCUUUUUGUGACUAAUAUAAUGUUGUCACUAAAAUUUUAAUCAUAAACUAAGUAAAAUUUCAUUGAAACAAAAUAUUUUGAUCACAUUAUGUAACUAUCUGUGACAACAAAAAUGGGGUUUUAAAAUUAGCUAAAAUCAUAAUAGAUUUAGAGACUAAUAUUUUAUGCCAUGGAUGAUUUGAUCAAAUUUACACCUCUUUUUUAGGUACGAAGUAAAUUUGAAAAAAGAAAAAAUAUUUUGCCCCUAUAUGAUUUGUCAUAAAAGAUGGUAUAUUGUCCCGAAAGAGUUAAUUUUGAAGAGACUUUUUUAUGCUAUAAAAAAAUGUUUUUUUGUGGAAACUAUAAAAUUUGGGACAAAAAAAAUUGAAUCAGGUACUAAGUAAUGCAUAUCAGAAACAAAAAAAAAAUUGGUCAUAAAAUAUAAAUUUAUUUACGAUAAAAUUUUCAACUACUAUUUUUUAGUUUUGUCACUUUAGGAAAUGAUGUAUGACAAAAAAAAUAUGGUCUUAAAAUCAAUCAAAACCAUAAUAACUUUAGAGACUAAUAUUUUAUGUCACAAAUAGUUUGACCAACUUUAAACGCCUCUUGUAGUUACAAAAUAGUUUUGUCACCUAUAAUUAUAUCUCGUGACCAUUAUUUUUUUCAUAAAUGACGAAAUAUUGUCCCAAAAUAUUCAAUCUGAGAGGGAAAUUUUUGCACCAAAAAAUAGAUUCAUUUUUACGACUAAAAUAAUGUUUGUUAUAAAAAAAUCAAAUUAGUGACCAAUUAACAAGUCUCAAAAUAAAACCUAUCGGUUACAAAAUAUAACACAAAUCAAGAUGAGACUAUUAGUAACAAUUUCAAAAGUUUGUCAUAAUAAGUACCAUUCAGUGACCAAAUUUAAAAUUGCUGUAAAAAAUAUCAUCUUAAAAAGUCAAAUUUCUUGUAGUAACAUUCAUCUAUUAAAUAAUGGUCAAGUAAUUUUAUAAAUUAUGAAGUUCAUCAUUUAAUAAAUGAGUAACACAUAGUAUUAAGACUCAAGUUGGAACUUAGACAUUGGAACCUCUAACAUUAUUGUUAAGAAAAACACAUAAUAUUAAUGGUUAAAUUUAUUACUGAAUUGGAAAAAGAGAUCCAGACAAAGAGAUGAGAAAAAAAAAAAAAGCAUAUUGAUUCCAUUCCUAUCAUCACCAUAACUUGAAAGUCUCUUACUAGUUUGCAUUCCAUAAUUGAUGGCAAUGAUAUUUGUCGUAUUUUCAUCAUAAUUUGCAAAUGAUUCUUGCCAUAAUAUACAUGAUAUAAUUGUUUUGAUUUUGGGUUAGAUUGAUAGGGGUGGGUAUGGGUUUGGUUGGAUAACCACUAUUAAAUAAGUUUAAAAUAAAAUGAAUCCAGCCUAACUAAAUAAACAUGUUCAGCAUAAUCUAACACAACCCUUAAAUGAUCAGAUUGAGUUGGGUUGGGUUGUUUGAGUUGAAAAUCAAAUCAAAAUUAAAAAUUAAAUAAAAAAUGAUAUCGAAAUUGAAAUAAAACUUAUUAUAAUUGAAUAUAAAUUUAUUAUAACAUGAAAUUUUCAUUUAUUGUCUAGUGUUCGAUUAAAAAAGAAGAAGCUAAAAAACCAAUUGUCUUAAAUUUAAGAAAAUUUCUAUAAAUGAACUCAAUAUUACAAGUUGAAAAUACAUAAAAAAGGAUUAAGUAUGAAUAAAUGAAAAAAAAUGCCUUACUUUAAAUGGGAAAUGGGUUUUGAGAGAGUGAUUUUAGUUUUGAAAUUGGAGUCUAAAGUAGUAAAUAUGGGAAUGAAAUAAUCUAUUUAAUAAAAUAAUAAAAAGAGGAUAAAAAUGAGGUUAGUUGUUUAGAUCAUUAGGGUUUUGCAAUUGAGGAUUAAUAUAUUUUUAUUGUUAUGAUUAUUAAUUACGUGGGCUAGGUUGGGUUAAAUGUAUUUAUCAUAAUUAAUCUAACUCAACGCAAUAAUUUAAUUGGAUUGAGUCCGUUGAGUUGUAUUGGGUUUGUCUACCCCUAAUAAUCAUUUUGAUGGGGAAUAAACUUUAGUGAUAAAAAAAAAGAAAAAAAAAAUAGAGAUACACUCACCAAAUGUAUAGAGAAAUUAAUUUUAACAUUGGAUAUGAUAUCAUCCAAUUAACUAAUUUUUAGCCUCAUUGCAAGGUACAUAAGGUAUCGACCAUGUACAUUUUUGUUCACAAUCUCUAACAACAACUAUUAUAGUAUAUAGUAUAAUAGAAAAUUGCUUCUUGGAUUACUUAAUACAUGCUGCUUACUGUAAUAGAAAAUUACUUUUUGGAUUACUGAUGGGAAUAAACUUUACUACUUUAGUAAUAAAAAAAGGGGAAAAACUAGAGAAACACUCGCCAAAUUUAUAGAGAAAUUAAUUUUAACGUUGGAUAUGAUAUCAUCCAAUUAACUAAUUUUUAGCCUCAUUGCAAGUUACAGAAGGUAUCGACCAUAUACACUUUUGUUCACAAUGUCUAACAACAACUAUUAUAGUGCAGUAUACAUUAAGUAAUCCAAUAAGCAAUUUUCUAUUAUAGUAUGCAGCAUGAAGGAAAAAUAAAAAAUUCUAUAAAUACCUUUCUUUUUUAAUUAAACAGCGGAGUAAUCGAGUAUUGGAUCACGUUAAUGGUCAAAAAUAAAUCACAAGCGGAAAUCUUUCAUUGAUCACAAUAUAAAUGUCCUAUUUAUGAAUUGUUCAAUGUUCUUAAUUUUAAUCUUCACGAAGAAGAGAAGAUGAUUUUGUAAUUUUUAUGUAUCUUUGUUCUUGUUCUUAUCAUUAGAGAGAGUUUAGCCAAAGUAGAGGAAGUUAAUUUAAAAUUACCUUCCCUCUCAAUCUUCAUAAACCGUACAUGUAACUACAUGGUAGUUACAUGUGCAGGUCAGAUGGGCCUACCCCACCCAUCCAACAUCUCCCACUCGCACAUUGCGGGACGACGUCGAAAUAGCAGAGCAAUGAACAAGGAAAUAAUGAAUAACCACAUAUCUUCAAGCAUACAGAUAGAUAUACCGUGUGACCAUGAAUAUAUCCAAAAACUCAUUUGGUGAGUCAAAAUCAUUUCUCGAUUGCUAACUCAAGUAAGAGAUGUCUCAAAUGCAAUUGUAUGCAAGAGAAUUUAAAAAUAUGUUCAUUGUAUCCUAAAUUUAAUUUAUUUUAAUACUCAAGCAUACUAAAUCCCCUCAGUAUGCUAAAAUUGCGUAAUCACUUUAUGUAUUCACAAUUGUAAUAUCCCAAAGAUAUUAUACAAAUUAGUCAACUACUGAAUCACAUAAAAGAAAAAUUAAAUCUUCCCAUCACACUCAUGUCCAUCAAUUCAGAAUAGUUGCUUUCUAGUCAUGUUUCAUAGACUGAUUCAUGCCAAGGUCAUAGAUAGUAUGCUAAAAUAGCAAACACCAGUCUAAGAUCUCAGAAACAUUGUUCAUAGUCAUAAGGAUAUCAGGAUUGACUUAUGGAAAGUCAUAUGGAACUUACACAAUGAGGAAGAAGGGAGAUUUUCUCAUUUUAUAUUUUGGUCACUAAGCACAUGUGGUAUGAUACAUGUGUUACAGUAAAUCUUACAUUUUAGGGCGUAUGUCUUAUUAUAUUAAUUCACUGUGCAUAUCUUAGUCCAGUCACUCUUCUAGAGUGCCUGACCUAAGUUCUUAGAAUGAAUGCUCUCCUUUAGCAUAAAAAAUAAGAUCUCACAUAUGGUUUUAUUCAGGUCUCCAUGAUAGUGGGGUACAUCAUAGUCGGUUUUUGAUAAAAAUCGCGUAAGACCUCAUAUUGAUUCUAAUCAAGGUGACAAAACUUGUAGAAUAACUCUUUUAGGCUCUCAAACAAACACAUUGUUUUAUUAUUCUAAUUGUCUCAUCUUAGCUUGCUCCCAGAGCAACUGAGGUGACUACUCAUGUAAGAAAGCCGAUCUUGACCAAUAGACAUACUUUUAUAUGUGUAAUUAUGCAUUUCAGAGAAUAAAUUGAAAUAAGAGAUACUAUUACAUUUUCAAACAACUUAUGUAAUGAAGAUGUUCACAGCAAAUAAGUACAUUUUAAUAAUAUUAAUUUACAAUCUAUGCAGCCCCAAUGAUUUAGCAUGAGAGGCGAAUACAUCCCUCGUUACAGCUUUGGUAAAUGGAUCAAUUAUCAUUCUAUACGUAGAUAUAUACUAUAUGACAACUUCCUUAUUUUCCAAAAUGUCUCUUAUGAAAUUAUAUUUAGUCUCAAUGUGUUUCGACUUUCUAUGGUUUUUAGUAUCCUUAGAGAAAGAGAUAAUAGCUUAACUGUCACGAUAGACAGUCAUUAGAUUAUCGUUGCUCAUAUUAAUCUCUAAGUCCUCUAUAAAUCUCUUAAGCCAUAUAGCUUCUUGCACUGCUGCAGAACAUGCAAUAUAUUCGGCUUCCAUCAUUGAUAAAAUCGUGCAUGUUUGCUUCUUGUACUCUAUGUUAUUACUCCUCUGUUUAGCAAAAAUACAUAUCCUGAAGUCGAUUUGUGCUCAUCCAGAUCACCACCCUAAUUGGCAUCUGAAUAUCUAACAAGUCGCAAACAACCUCCUUGAUAGCAUAAACAAUAAUUUGCAAUGCUUUUGAGAUAUGCUAAAAUCCUUUUAACAACACUUCAAUGCUUAUGACCAAGACUAGUAGGGGUAGGCGCGGUUCGAUUCGGUUCAUUUUUUUACUAAAUUUUUCAUAAUCGUUCGAUUACGAUUAUUUUAAAAUCAUAAUCGAUAUUAAUCAAAUUACCGAAAUAAUCAAAUACUCGAUUAAUCGAAAUAAUUCGAUUCGAUUCGGUUUGAUUAUUUCGAUUAUGGGCCUAUUGGACUUAUUUUGGGUUUUUAUAAAUUUAAAACCUUAAAUUAAUAAAUCUACCAAAACAUAAAAAGUUAACAAAAAAAAAUCAAAAUAUGUCUCAAAGUAUGUUCAAGAACAAAUAUGUUCAAAUAAAGACCCGUACAUAAAAGAUAAAAAUUUAUUUAAACAAACGAUUUGUUUCUUAGUUAAAAGUUUUUAAUCUUUUACUGCUUUUAUUAUUAUCCCAAUUUUCGUGAUUGUUGGUACAUGUGUCAAAUCAUAGGUGGAAGCCUCUAAAAAAUAAAAAUUAACCAAAAAAUCAAUUAAGAUUAUAGUUUGAUUAAGGAUCCAUAUAGAGUUAGUUAGCCGAACCAGCUGGAAAAUGUUUUUGUCUGAACCUGUUGCAGAAAAUUAGUACUUGCUGGCGUUUUUGAUUAAUUAAUUUAGUUAUGAAUAUACAAACUUAAAAAGUCAUGAAUGAGACAUAUUUGAACUUACUUUAGACCUUUAGUUUUCAUCAGUAGUAAAGACAGCACCAACAAUUCACAGCACCAGCAUUUAGUUAUGAACUUGCUUUACGUGCUCUGGAAAAUAUCAGUGAAUCCAGCAACUCACCGCACACUAUAGAGAACAUUUUCAAACACAGCUCUAAGAUAUAAAAAUCAUGAUCAAUCUCAACAGUAUCCAGUUUGCGAUUUGGGAAAAGAAACUGAAAAUACCGAAAAAAAUCAAUCAUUCAAUCAUCUUUCAUCAAAGAAACAAACCAUAUCUCACCCAAAUGGGGGAAAAGAAAAAACAAAAGAAUGAAUCAAAAAUCAAAAAUCAAUUUUGGUAUACAAAUUAGUAGUCCUGGGUAUAACUAAAUACAACAUCUCAAGUGAACGAACCUCAACAAAUUACGAAACGAAACACGAAACAAUCAGCAGCAGCUCAAGUUAUUGGUUUUUAUUCUCUGCAAAAACAGAACAAACCAGACAAAAACGGCAGCAAUAUUUACAUAACUCAAGCACAUUAACAAAAACAUGGGAACGAGGAAAAAGAAAUGAACUUUAAACCAAAUUCAUAAAACCGAAACGAAAAAUGGAACCUUUUUCGUUCGAUUUUUUGUUCUGCUGAGAGAUAUUGUUGACAAAAACAAAAGAAUCUUUGCGGUGAGCACUGAGCGCACUGUAUUCAGACAAAUAAUGGCAGCAGGGGAGCACCGUGACAGCAGCAACGAGCAGCGGUGACGACUGACGAGCAGUGGCGACAACGAGAUUGCAGCGACGGCGACGAGCAACGGGGAUGAGAUUCCAGCAGCUGAAGGUGCUGCGGGUGAAGGUCACGAGUUCAGCCUUGUUUAGUUUAGACUUAUGAUUUUAGGGAUUGUUAUUUGACAUUCGGUUUAUUUGAUAUCCGGUUUGGUUUUUUGGUUUUUUUUUUUUAAAUCGAAAACCGAACCGACUGGUUUUACUAUUUUUAUUAUAUAACUCAUUCGGUUUUUUGGAUGUAAAAAAACCACACAAAAACCAAACUGAUUUUGAUUAAUCAGGUUUUUUUGCCCACUCCUAAAGACUAUACUAGUUAUACUCACCAGUCCUACAACAUAACUGAUAUAAAGCCUUGUACACAUUAUGGCAUACAUGAGACUUCCAAUAGGAUUUGCAUAAGGAACUCUAACCAUUCUUUCCUUUUCUUGAGGAGUCUUGGGACACAUAUUGAUAAUAAGAGAUUGUCUUUUGGCUAUAGGGUAUCAUUUGGCUUACAAUUAGCCAUGUUGAAUCUUUCAAAGAACUUCUUAAUGUAAGACUUUAGUGACAGAGCUAGAAGUUUCCUCGAACGAUCCUUGAAAUUUUUUACUCCUAAAAUAUAAGUUGCUUCACCUAUAUCUUUCAUGUUAAAAUUUGAAUGUAGUCGAUCUUUAAUAUUUUGACAAACCUUUGACUGUUCGGUACCAAUAAAAUAUCAUCCACAUAUGAAGACAAUAUCGCAAAAACGUCUUUAGACCUCUUAAUGUACACAAAUGGUCUUCCUUAACCAUCCUAAAGCCAUAAGAAACUACAACUUGAUGGAAAUUAAGGUUUCAUUCUCUAGAGGAUUGCUUAAGGCCAUAAAUAGAUCUUUUAAGCUUGUAUACAUUGUGCUUUUGGCCUUUAACAAUGAAACCCUGUGGUUGUUGCAUGCAUAUAAAUUUCUUUCUCUAGUUUUCCAAUGAGAAAUGCAAUUUUUACAUCCAUCUAAUAUAAUUCAAGGUCUAGAUGUGCAACAAUAGCCAAGAUUAAUCGUAUGGAAACAAACCUUACCACAAGAGAAAAUGUCUCUUCAUAGUCUAUUCCCUCCUUUUGGGUAUAGCCUUUAUGGACUAAUCUUACUUUAUAUCUCUCUAUUGUCCCAUCCGCUUUACAUUUUAUUCGGAGAACCCAUUUGUUUCCGAUAGUUUUAUGAUUAGACAAAAGUUCAUCCAAGUCCCAGACCUAAUUAACUUUCAUAGACUCCAUCUCUUCUUCCGUAUAUCUCCAGCAGACGAUGUGAGAGCUUUAUUAAAAGUAUUUGGCUCCUCACUAUCGUGUAAAGAAAUCAUGAAAACUUCUCCAUUAAUCUCAAAAUGACAACGAGGAAUUGGCUUAUGACUACUUUUUUGAAUCAAUUCCCUAGUUGGAAUCGAAGUGUCCGGUGUUUCACUCAUACUUAGAGUAGCAAUUCCCAAAGGAUUUGAAAUACAAACUAGGCAACCUAAGAGGGGGGUGAAUUAGGAAUUUAAAAUUUAAGCUAAGCAAACCACACAACAAUUUAAUCUAAUGCUUUAAUGGAAUCAAAAGUAAUAAAUUCAAUAAAGCACAAUAAUAAGAGAGUAAGGGAAAAAAACAAACAUAAUGAUUUUUACGUGGUUCGGCAAUCCUCACCUACGUCCACACCUUCAAGCUCACCCAGCUUGAAGAUUUCACUAUCCAAUCCUCACAAGACUUCAAGUUCUUUACAAUUGACUUCCAAUGUGUCAAUGGACCUUUACAAUCAAGAUAUUAUCUCCCCAAUCUCUUCACCCCAAGUGUUUAUCAUACUUGUACACUCACAAUUUGAUAAGAAAUGAAAAUUACAAUAAACAACUCUCUUUUAGAGUGGAUAUACAAAUGAUAGUUCAAUGAAGAUUUAAUUUAUGAUGAUUUGCGAAAUUGAAGCUCAAUAUAUGUUGUGUGCACUUGUUUAUGCUUGCCAAGAUUGCCAAAAAUGAAUUGAAUUUGAGUUUAUAUAGUUUCAGCCCAAAAACUAGCCGUUAUAGACUUUUUGGUGAUAACCGUCUUGGCGCUUUGUGAAUCCGCUUAGCCGUUUUUAUGUCACUGUUAUAGAAAAUAUUUGAAUUUUAGAACAUCUGGCAUGCUACUUUCGGAAUCCGAUUAACCGCUUUCAUUCCAGUGAGCUACUGCCCAUAAUCCGGCUUGCUGCUUUGUAAAAUCCGGUUAGCCACUUAGCUACAAUGGCUGCUAAAGUGAAUAUUUUUAAAUUUAUAGUUUUGACCCAAACCUUUAUAGAAUUACGCUAUGGCCCAAAACGUCAUAAAACUUUACACAAAGGUCCAAUUUUAGAAUUUCUAAAUAAUGCUUGUUACUCCCAAAACUUUUAUGAUAUUGCCCAAAAUGCUAUGAAACUUUUCAAAUAAGUCAUUCUCCAGAAUUCCAAGCAAUACUUGUUGAUUUCAAAGUUUUUAAAACUCUUUCAAUUAGACCAUAAACUUGAAAAACAAUCAAUUUUAUAAAAUUAUUUUUUAUUAAAUAUAAAACCUUUAUAAUGUGAAAAUAAUGAUUUAUUUAAAAUGUAUAAAAAUAAUUUGAGCUUUUAAAAACUUAAUCAUUCUUAAUUUUAUUUGUUAUCAUCAAAAUCAACAUUAUGGAUAUAUAAAUGUUUACAGGAUUCGCACUAGUGCCAACACCAACAUUAGAAGUGAUAACCUUGUUUGGAUAUUCUAAUUCAUAAAAUUGAAAAUCCUCAUCAAUUUCUCCAAUGCUAGGAAAUUCAUUUUCUACAAAAUUGACAUCCUAUGAUUCUAGUUCAAUCACAAUUCCACUUUCAUGUUCACCAAUGAACACAUAUCCUUUGAAGAGCUCUGAGUAUCUAAUAAAGAUACAUUUUUUACUCUUAGCUCCCAAUUUCCUAGACUUAUGGAUGGAGUUAUGAACAUAAACCACAGACCCCCAAGGUCGCAGAUGUGAUAGGUCAGGUUUCUUACCCGUCGAUAACUCAUAUGAAGUAGAACUGACUGAUUUUAAACAAACCCAAUUAAGUUUAUAGGCAGCAGUUAACAAUACAUCUCUCCAAUAUGAUAUUGAAAGAUUUGAUUACGCCAUCAUUGACCUAACCAUUUCCAACAAAGUUCUAUUCCUUUUUUUCGCCACACUAUUUUGUUGCGGAAUUUCAAGAAUAGUCAGUUGUUUAAAAGAUAUUCACGUCCUCAGUUAGUCCUUAGGACUUUAACAUUAUUGUCUAAUUGAUUCUCUAUCAUGUUUAGAUAUAAUCUAAAGCAAUCCAAUGCUUCUGAUAUGUGAGAAAUCAAGUAGACAUGACCGAAACAUGAAUAAUCAUCAAUGAAUGUUAUAAAAUAUAAGGUUCCAUGUUUAGCCCUUACAUUCAUUGGACUACAGAUGUCAGAAUGGAUUAAUUGCAAUGGUUUUUCAGCUUUAAUUCUUUUGUCCAAUGAUUUUCUAUUUGUUUUUCCAGCUAGAAAAUUCUCACAUAUGGGCAACUCAACCUUAGUGAGUGCACCCAACAUGUCCUCUCUCGCAAGUCUAUGCAUUCUUUCUUGUCCUAUGUGAUCUAAUCUAGCAUGCCAAGUAAUAUCAUAUAUCUCAUUAUUACUUGAAGAAGUAACAAAAGAAAAACAACUAUUAUCAUAACUUGAAUUAUCAAGUAUUGUAUCUAAUACAAUGAAAUCAUUAACCAAAUGCCCAGUUCCAAUAAGGAUUGAAUUUAAGAAAAUCUCAAAACAAACAUCAUGAAAGUUUAAAUUAUAUCAUAAUUCAAGAAGAACAAGAACAAAAACCAAGUUUCAUCGAAUUUCCAAUGCAUAUAGGAUAUCGUGUACAAAAGAAUACGUCUAUCACACAAAGUUAAUUUGCAGGUGUCUAUUCCUUUUACUUUAACUCUGGAGUUGUUGCCCACGUAUAUUCAUCUAAUCUGUUGACUAAUUUGACGAUACUCCACAAAUGCAUCUUGAUCAUGAGUUAUAUGGUUUAUUGCUCCCAAGUUUACAGUCUAUAUAGGAUGAGAAUUAGUUAGGAGUUCAGAACUCAUAACUAGAGCAUAAUUUAAUAAAGUGGAGUUAGGCCUCACCUUUAUUGACUCAGUGCACUCACGAGUAAAAUGACCCAGCUUGCUACAAUUGAAGCAUUUCAUAUUGAAUAUGUUCUUUUUCUUACUAGCACGCCUACCCCUUAGGCGUUUCUUAGCAUUUGACUUUUUCUUAUUAUGAUCAAAUCUCUCACUCUUCUAGUUAUACUUAUGACCCCUUUUGCGCUUGAAGCCUGAAACUUUGCGUGAACUUGACUCAGCAAUAUAAAUAUGAUUUGAAAGCUUAGCUACUUCAAGGCGCUCUACUUUCAAAUCUAGGUGAUGUUGUAUAUCAAAGUAUGUCCAACAGCCUUAAGUUCACGAAUCAUGUUUGACAUCUCCCUCAGAUGGUGCCUUAUAGUAUGAUUUUGGCAUUUCUGAUAAGAAUCAAAUUUGAUCGUAAGCCUUCUCAGUUUAGUGGUCGAAGUGCCAGUGAACUUGUCUUUUAGAGCGAGUCACAUCAUUUAAGCAGUCUCAUACUUCUCAAACUUAUACAUGAGGUCAUCUUGCAUGCUGCUUAACAUCGUUAUGCAAGCAUUGCUAUUCGUCUUUUUCUAGGCUUGGUAAGCCUCAAGAUCCCUCCUAUAUUGAGCAGUAUUGCAAUGCUCAGACUCAACUAAGGUGUAUGUUGAGAGAUUCUAGAGUCUCUUGUUCUUUAAGGAUGUGCUGAAUCUUACGGUGCCAAAUAUCAUAAUUAUCACCAUUCAGCUUCUCAUCCUUGUUUAACUCAGCCAUAAUGUUCUUAGAUGCAGAUGUCAUCUCAACUUUCUUUUAACACAUAAAUAAUUCAAAAAUACAAUCAAUAAAGGCAUCUAAUAAUUACACACAAACAAUUAAUUUUGCUGCAAACGUAAACUAAAAACAUGAUAAAUUAAUAUUAUGAAUGAAAUCAAAAAGGUCGUCGAAGCUUCCAAUCAUUAUCUAAUUCCCUUUAUUAUAUUCAUCAUUAAUUCGAUUUUAAUGCGCACAAUUAUUAGUUCUAAUCAUGAAUUCAUCAAAUGCAAUUUGAUCGGAACUCCCACUCAAUAGAAUAAUUCAUAAGAUAUCGUAAAAGUAUAUAUAGAGUCAAGCAACAACUAAUGUAGAAAUUCAAUUAGAAAAACAUAGCAACAUAUUGUUCAACCAACAAAGUGAAUAAAAACUCACAAAUGAAAGAAAAUGACCAAACAUAAUUAAACUAAUAGAUAAACUCUUCUAAAUGUUUUUAAAAUAUUUUUUGUUGCUAAUGACUCUUUCAUCCAACUUAUAAUUGAGUCUACUUCCAUAUAAAAACAAUUAUUCCUUCUUCAUGAUUUUGUUUAUGGUUUUCUCAUACCAUAAUUUUUGCCCUCUACCAAAGCGACUACCUUGUCUUCCAUUUCGAAGGCCUAUGUGAAUACUAAGUACUGAGGUUUGCCUCAUUUUUUAAGUAAGAUGGUGCUCUUCCAUCAGCUUAAUUUCACACCUCAACAUAUAAUAUGUGUUCGAGGGAUUUUCUAUCUCUUUUAACAUGCGAGCCUUAAAUAAAAGCGUAUUAUCAUCAUCAGGUAAUGAAUUUAUGAGGACCCAUUGAUAAUAAUCCCAGUUUGUAUACUUAGUAUAUACUUUUCCAUACAUUAAGCAGAUAAAAAUGCCAUAUAUAUCUUCUAUGUUCAUGCAUAUAGGACGAUCAUGGUCCAUCUUAUAAUUCUCCAUUUUUUUUCACAAGUUCUUCAUGAGAUAAGUUAUUAUUAGUCUCAAUUAGAUCCAUAAGUGAAACCUAAGCUCUAUUUGUCAUUAAUCACUCUUCCUCAAUCCAUAAUUUUCUAAUAAGAGGCAUCUAGGAAAAAUAAUAUAAAGUUCAUAUUAGUGUUUGUUAACAGGCGACUUAGUUUUGCUACAAUAUCAUACACCCCAUGCCCACAGUCGGAGAGUGGAACCCACGUGCCCCCUUUCGCGGCUCCGAUGACGUCGGGUCUGGCAUCAUCUGAUUUCAUUUUUCAUCCCGAUUCCAAUUUAGGCUUUAGAUUUUCAAUUAGAGGUCAGAAUAAGCCGAAAUCAUUAAAAAGCCGAUUAUGAUAUUGUUCAUCAUCUUCUCCAAAAUUAGGGUUUCUGAAAUUUUGUAACCCUAAUGCUACCAUAUUCGUUUCUUAGCCAUAACUUUCUCGUUUUAAGUCUGUUUUUAACAAAUUACAUAUCUUCAGAAAGCCCUUGAAAAGAUCUUUCCUAUAAUACAUAAUGAGAAUGUCAGAUUGUCUAGAUCAAAAGAUAUGAUCAAAUAAAAUUUCAGUUUCAUGUUUUUGUUAGGGUUCAUACGAACUAAACCCUAGGCCAUUUUUAUGUCUUUCAAUUCCAGAAUUUUUACAGUGAUUUUAGCAUUCGAGAACAUAAAUUUAACAGCCACCAGAUAAUACAUUUCAUGAAAAAAUAAUUAACACAUAAAGUUCAUGCAUUUUUCAUGAAAUAAAUUCAACCAUUCGCACGAAUCCAACACAAAACCAUGCUCUGAUACCAAUGAAGGGAAAAUAAAAAAUUCUAGAAAUACCUUUUUUUCUCAAAUUAAACAGCAGAGUAAUCGAGUAUUGGAUCACGUUAAUGGUCAGAAAGAAAUCACAAGCGGAAAUCCUUCGUUGAUCACAAUAUAAAUGGCCUAUUUAUGGAUUGUUCAAUGUUCUUAAUUUUAACCUUCACGAAGAAGAGAAGAAGAUGAUUUUGUAAUUUUUACGUAUCUCUACUCUUGUUCUUAUCAUUAGGGAGAGUUUAGCCAAAGUGGAGGAAGUUAAUUUAAAAUUAGCUUCCCUCUUAAUCUCCAUAAAUAAUACAUGUAACUACAUGGUAGUUACCAUGCGCGAGUCGGAUUGGGUCAGCCCAUCAUGGGUGACCCACCUAUCCAACACAGCAAGUAUUAAGUAAUCCAAGAAGCAAUUUUCUACUAUAGUUGGCACUAUUCUAGUACAUAAUUUCAAUAGUGUUGAUGUUAAACCAGUUCAAAGAAACCACUAUUACAAUUAUGGUAAUAGUAUUAUCGUUAUUAAAUUAGAAAAUUGACAACAUCUUCUUUUUAAAAUAGAAACUAGAAUAAUUAUAUUAUCAAAUAUCUUAAAAGAUAGCAAGUAGAGUGCGAUGAAAAAAUUUUAUCUAUACAAAAGCACUAGAACAAUUCAAAGUUUAUUGUCUUAUUACAAAUUUUGAGCCAUGAUAUAUCAAAGGCAACCACCUCACCAAAAGUAAUAUUAUCCAAAUAAUUUUUUGGAAAGCCUAUACAAAGAUUUCUGCCAUUGGGCCAUUAGAAUCUCCAUGCACCAUUAUCGGAGUCGACACAAUCGCCUCUAACACGAGCGUAUUAUCCCGAUCCGAGCAUCAAACCAAUUCCAUCAAAAGGUCAUUGGAAAAUAGCCUUGAGGAAGUUAAUAAAAUCUAAAAAAGAAAAGAAAAACAAAAAGGACGAAAGAAAAAUGUCGGCCAUAAAGGGAAACUCCCUCCCUGGCCAGAGACUCGAAGUUGUUGGUUGACUGCUUGCGGAUAGAAGAUGAAAAUAAAAGAUUUGCACCAUGGAUUUGCUUUUUCAGUUAUUGGAACAAUAUGUUGAAGCAACAGCAAAGGAAGUUUUUUAGAUAAAUAAUAAUUAAAUUAAAAUAUAAAGACAUAAUACAGGUUAAACUAGGUCGGGGGUGAAGUGCAGGUAUAGAAUUAAUCUCGCUUCCACAAAAAUUCAUUUCAAUUUCACCUCAUAUGAGGAAUCUCAAUAUAGGCUGAGGCAGAACUAGUUUAUGCUUGGGAUUGCCUUGACCUCUAACUUUUUGAAAUUUUUUCUGAGAAGUAAGGUAAAAAGCAAAACGUUUUUGAGAUGACACCUAACCUAUUUUUAAUCAAGCCAACCAAAAAUUUCUUAAAGUACUAACGCGCUAUUUAUUAGUAAGGGUUCGGUCUCCUUCCUGAGGACUCUUUUUCUCUCAGAAAGAGAAAUUUGGAAUGGAUGCAAAAAGUGGGGAUUGGUAUGGUCCAUUUUGUCGGUCGUAGGUUGAGUGUAUCAGCUGCUCUUACGUUACUCUGCUUUAUUAUCUAUACUAAAACAUAGUAAGAUCCAUGGUUAGGGGUUUCAAUUAGUUGGGACCAAUUCAAUCUCAAGGAAAGGUCAGAGCAGUGGCAGGUAGGUGUUGGUGUGCAAAUUAAUUUCAGGCUAAGGAAAAUUUAAAGGUUUAAAGAUGGAUACUGAAGAGUUAAUACGGAAAUGUAAAGCUAUAACUUUAAAAGAAGAAGAAGCAGAAAAGAUUAGCUUUACAGGAAAUAUGAAGAAAAAAGGGAAAAAACUUGCAGGCGCUGCCUCAUUGGGAAGAUUUUGCUUUCGAGAAAAGUGAACACAGAAGGGUUGAGAAUGGCAAUGCAGCAAGUGCGGAAAUCGGUACAGAAAUCAAAGUAGAUAAUUUGGGAGACAACAUUUCUGUUUUCAAGUUUCCUUCUGAAGCUGAAAAGAAAAUGAUCUUAUAGGGGGGCCUUGGCAUUUUAAUAAAGCCCUUAUGGUGUUUACAGAACCAAGCGGUAUGGAGGAUAUAAAAAAAAACAAUCUUUCCAGUACACAUCCUUAUGGGUCCAGUUAAAUAACGUUCCACCAAUGUGUAUGGAGAAAGAUGCGAUUCAAGAAACAGAUGAGAAAAUUGGAAAGGGGGAUGAAGUUAAAAACAACGAGUCAGGGGAGUGUAUUGGAUUUUUUGUUCAAGUCCGAAUCUAAGUGGAUAUAACACAACCUCUCGACAAGGUAUUUACAUUGGAAUUAGAGAAUGGAGAAAACAUUCUGAUACCAGUCCACUAGGAGAAGUUGCCUGAGUUUUGUUUUUGUUGCGGACUCAUUAGCCAUCGAUAUAGACUAUGCUUAAGCUACAAGGGGCAGCCAAAAAAAAAACAAUUGGCUUUUGGAGCUUGGUUGAAGGCGUUAACAGAAGCUGAGAGAGUUAGGCAGAACAGAAACUGAGAUCGAUGGAACAGAGAAGCAAGUCAACCAAACUCUGGUCACCAGAAUCAACUCCAACACAAGCAGAGUCCAAUCAACCCGAGUGUGGAAAGCGGAUCCAGGUCAAACCAAAACAACCUAGGAAAGCCAAAACACCAAUGAGGGACGAGAAUGUAAAAGAGGUAGGUAAGGGCUCAUUAAUGCAAGGAAAUGCAGAGGUUAUGCAGUAGGGUCUAGAUGGCAAAAAGCCUGCCAAUGUAUUUGACAAGGAGUUGAUAUCUAGGAGAUGAGCAAAGCAGCGGGAAAGCUUGAAAGGCAAGAAAUUGAUUCAGCAAUUAAAAAAUGGGAGUUGGGUUUAACUGGGUCCAACAAUGUGACAAAAGAAGAAAUAGGCUAGCAAGUAUUGAGUAGAGGAGCCGAAGUAACUGGGUAGGAAAAAGCUAUAAAAAGGGUAAAAAAUAAAAGAGUGGGGCUAUCGGCACCCCUCUGAUAUCCUUUUCAAACCCCUUUUCUAUUUAUUUCCUCCUCAAUUCCUAAAAUAAUCAUUUUUCCACAAACAAUUUCAACCUCCUUUCAGUUAUCACUCUUCAACCACUCCCACUUCAAGUUUCUUCUUUUUGUAGGAAAGGCUGUUGAUAACAACCCAAUAUUUUGUAUCCCAUGCGCUUAAUUUAUUAUGAGGUUUCUAUUUGUUUUAAUUUUAUACUUUUCAGUUUAUGACAAUAUUCUAUUUCAAAAUAAAUAUGUAUAAAAUACACACAAGGUUUAUUUAUCUCCUAGCAUUCUAAUAACGUUGGUAAUUUAUGAAAAUUUUAUAAAAUUAUCUUUCCUAGAAAAAUAAAUUGUUAAGUGAAAAAAAUACUUUAUAUCAAAUUCUUACUCUUUUACAAUUUUUUUUUUGGAAAAAAAAUUGUAACUUUUAAGAGCUUUAGUGAAGAAAGAGUCGGUGAGAAAAAUCAUAUAUAGAUUUAAUAAGAUAAGAUUUUACAACUAAUACAAUUCAAGACAUAAGAGAUAAAGCUGUAAAUGUAUAAUAAGAGGGGCUUUAUAAGAAAAAUGCAGGGUGCCAAUAGCGUCACUCAAAAUAAAAAUUCUGAGCAUAGGGAGAGACAAAAAAGAGUGAGGUGGAAGCUGCGCCAAUCUCCUUAAAAAGGCCCAUUGAAGAAGCAUUAAACCCAAGCCCUAUACCCAAGCCCAGGAAAUGAGAAAGCAAAGAUAGGAAGCCCAAAUGUCACGCGGGUAAAUCAGAUUCAAAUGUCAUAUCCAUUUGCAAAACUUAAGCUGGUGAGGAAGGAAGCAACAUAGGAGGCUAUAGACAUUCAGAUGGUUAUUUUGGAUAAGUUAUUGGUGGAGGCUGGAGACCUACCCCACCGACAGCCAUGAAAAUUAUAAGCUGGAACUUCAGAGUUUGGGGAAUUCUUAAACACACUUAGCCAUUAUGAAAAUUCUCCACCUGUACAAAUCUCAAUUAAUUUUUCUUUGUGAGACUUGUUAACAUAUAUGUAUUCAUAAUGUUGAUUUUGAUGAUAACAAAUAAGAUUAAGAAUUAUUAAUCUUUUAAAAGCUCAAAUUAUUUUUUAUACAUUUUAAAUAAAUCAUUAUUUUCACAUUAUAAAGGUUUUAUACUCAAUGGAAAAAUGAUUUUAUGAAAUUGGUUAUUUUUCAAUUCAUGAUCUAAUUAUAAUUUUUUUGAGAACUUUGAAAUCAACAAGUAUUACUUGAAAUUCUGGAAAUGGACUUGUUUGAAAAUUUUAAUAAAGUUUUAGGCUAUAGUAUAAUUAAAAAAAGUUUUGAGGUAAAAUUAUAAUUUUAGAAAAUAGUUUCACUGUAGCAAACGGCAAUCCGACAUCGACAAUUUGAAUUUUGGCACAACGCUCACUCGCUCAAGUCAAAACAGCAAUCCAAUAAUGCUUAACGGCGAUCUGACUUUGUACAGAAAGUCAAUAAUGGAUAGUUUUUAGCUCCAACUAUAAAAGGGUUGCAUUAGAUCCAAAUCAAAGUGAAUUCAAUGAAUACCAGAGAGCAUAUUAUUGAGAAUACAAUGUUUCUUGAGCUUUAAUUUGUUCAUUAAUUCUUUAAAUCACAUCUUGGGCAUAUAUUUGUAAACAUAUAGAUUGUGUGUGAGAAAAAUCUUGUAUUUCAAAAAGUGUGAGUAUGGGAAACACUUGGGUUAAGAGAUUUGGAAUAAUCUCUUGUUGUAAAGGUUGAUUGAGACCUGUGAAGUCAAUUGUAAAAGUUCUUGAAGCCUUAGAGGCUUGGAUAGUGGAAUCCUCAAGCCCGGUGAGCAUGGAGGCGUGGACGUAGGCGGGGUUGGCUGAACCACGUAAAAAUCUUUGUGUUUGAAUCUCUCUUCCCUUAUCUCUUUACAUUUUGAUUGGUUUAUUUAUUAUUGUUUUAAAUUUGUUUAAGAUUUGCAUUAAGUUUUGUUCAAGCAUUGCAUAAUUUUUAGAAACUCAAUUCAUUCCCCCUUUUGGGUUGCAUAACUAGUAUUUCAAGACUAAAUUGAGAUCUAGGCGCGUUAAUGUUGUGUGUAAGGAGUUAGGUAUUGAGAAUUAUUUAACUGUGGAUUGCAAAUGAAAAAUUGAAGCAUUAACUAUGUUGUGGAGUUCAAAGAUUGCAGUCAAAAUAACAUAAUAUGGUAGUCGUCAUAUAGAUGCAGAGAUUCAAAAUACAAAUGAGAGAAGAUGGAGAUGAACUGGAAUAUAUGGUCACCCUAAAGCUAGUGGUCUGUGCAAUCUUUAAUGCUAUGGGUGUCAAUGUGCAAGUGUACAUAACAAGUAACAUACUGAUGAGUAUUCAAAUCAUCUCCAUAGGAAUUGAUGUUAUCAAAUUUGAUAGAGUAAUCUUAAUAUGCAAUUUUGUUCUAAAUUAAAAUAAAACAAUUUUAUCAAACUAAUAACUAAUUAAAAUAAAAAUGCAAUAAAAAAAAUUCUCACGUCAAACACAAGGAUGUAACCAAUGGUAAUAAAGUAGUUGAGUGAAUAAACUCACUUAAUGGCAUUGACUAUUUUUCAAUUACAGUACCGUUGCUACAGCAUCUACUAGAGCAAUGGGCAGAAUCCCUCAUGUAUCCUCAGUUGUCAUCUGUUGGAUAUUUUAUACCUAAUGCAACCUAAUAGUGAUAAAUUGUUACGCCAACAUUAAAUAUAGCAUUAAGCAAUCUAGGUUUCAUUUACCCUGUAAGGUGAAUCUAUAUGUCUAGUUCAUCACUAAUUUUAAAUCAAGUAUGACCCUAUUCAAAUUGAGAUUAACUCAACUUGGGAAACUCAAUCUAAAACUAAGUAUUGUCUUAAUUAGAUCUACUAAGUCAAACCUUUUUUAGGCUUUUUCUUAGUUAGUAUCCUUAAAUGGGUGGUCAGACGAAAUAAAGAAUAAAAUAAAUACAAUUAAGACAAAAUGUUAUAGCAAACACAGAGCAGCGCCCGUAUAUUAGUCAAACAUCCAUUAAGUUCGUUUAUUACUCAAUUGUAAUCAAAUUCAGUUCAUGAUUUGUUAAAGAAAAAUAAACAAAAGAGUUUUUACCAUCAAAUACAUCCCCAUGAAUAAAUAGAAAACAAGAAAAGAAUAAGAAGAAUUGAUUUCCAAUUGAUCUCUAUGAUUUCUCCUCUGUCAGCCUUCAAUCUCUCUCUUGAUUUCUGCUUUUCUUGUGCUUUUCUCUCCAGUUUAUUCCUUUGAGGAUGACUCUCUCUUUUUCUUUGCAUGUGUGCUCCUUUUAUGGCUUAGAAUUAAGGCACCCAGAAGUCUAAGUCUUCCAUUUGUGGAAACUCCAGAUCAUAAUCUUCUAAAUAUCUCGCGCGGAAUCUUCUCUAUCAAUACUCUAGGAUUGCUAUAGUAAUGACUACUGCAUGUUACUUAAAAUUUAAACUUCCGGUCACUUACAAUUAUGCAUAUAAUCUAAGCACAAAUUAAUCUAAAACAAACUAAAUUUAUUAAAAAUAAACUAAAAUGGAUGUUCAUGCAAAAUAUAACAAAAUGCAAUAAAAACAUGUCAUUUACUCUCUAAGUAUUACUGAUUCAAGUCUAAAAGUGUUAUGAUAACUCUCAUUUUAUAAAGUUAUCAACUAGUCAAAAGAACCAUACUUGGACCUUUUUAAGAAGGUUGCCAAGUUUGUCUACAUGCCCUUGGCUUUGUUUCAGAGACUUUAAUGAGAUCUUGAAUUUAAAUGAGAAAAUUGUGGGCUUAGAUAGAGAUGGUAGGAUGGUUGCUGAUUCUAGGGAAUGUGUCAAAAACAAUAAGCACGUAGAUGUAAGAUGUAAAGGGCACCUUUUUACUUAGUCUAAUAAACGGUUUGGACCUCACUACAUAAAGAAGAAAUUAGAUAGAUUCAUGUGCAACCAGGAGUGGAGAUCUAAAUUUUAUGAUUGGUUGGCAACAAAUUUAAUACAUGGGGAAUCAGAUCAUUGCCUAUUAAGAUGGUGGCUCAAGAUAGGCAUAAAAAGUCUUCACUAUAAAAGGAGAACCUUCACUAGAGUUUAUUACAAGGAUUUAUAAAGUUCAUAUAAAGACUGCAAAAAUAUUAUGAAGAAUGAAUGGCUUAAAUGGAGAAAUGGAAGGGAAGAUAAUCCUAUUCAGAUUCUCAAGAAGAUUAUCGAAAGCUCUAUGGCAAUAGCUGUAGAUAUGGAGCAAGGAAGAUUUUGGCGGUAGAGAGAAAAAGCUUAAGGAGCUAAUGAGGAAGCUAAAAAUAGUGAAGCAAUGCAAUUUUCAGUAUGAAGAUGGGGUUUAAAUAAGAAUCAUUGAGCUAUAGAUUAAAACUAUGUUGAUUUAUGAGGAGAUGUACUGGAAACAUUUUGAUGGCUGAUUAGUUAAUAGAGAAAGACAAAAAUAUGAAAUUUUUUUCAUUAUAAAGUUACAACUAGAAUAAAAUUUAAGGCGUUGAAGAUAAUUUUAGGCAAUGGACAAAAGAUAAUGAAGAAGUAGAAAGGAUUUUGUGAGUGUUUUCAAGAACUCUUUACUACUUCCAACCUAAGACAAGAACAAAUUUUUACAGCCUUCGAGGAAUUGAUACAGAUUAAAAAUUUAUAUUAUACUAGGAUAUGUUUCCUAACUAACUAAGGUUUAGGACUUUUUAAUUUCCUUUCCAAUUUAGAAUUUUGUUUCCUUUUCAAUUUAGAAUUUUGUUUUCCUUCAUAAUUUAGGAUAAUUACUACUACUAUAAAUAGCUCCCUCUUGUAGCAUUUGAAGGCAUAUUCGAUUUCAAAAAUAUUUUCAAUUUUUAAAACUCUUUGUGAGUAUUUGAACAGUUAAUUCUCGGUAUUCUGCGGAAUCAACGAGUCUUAAUCCCUAAAUUCGCGAUAUUCUUUUUGAAUCAAUGUGAAUUUAGUUAUUCUUUUAUUCCGGUAUUCUCUAGAAUCAACAGAAUAUUUUGAACAUUAAACUUCUGCUGCAUCAGAUUCAUAUCAGAGCCAAAACCUAGUAUCACCAAUCUAAUCCCAUUUACAACCAAACCUUUCCUUUUUCCCUUUUUGAUUUUUUUCCCUUUAGCUUUAUAAAAAAAAAAAAAAAACCGAAACAGAAGUAAAAAAAAAAAAUUUCAGCCCGCGACCACCGUCCAAGGCUGCCGGCUUUAGUUUUCUGUCACCAAUCCGAACAUAACCACCACCAUACACAUCAUAAAGCAUCGACCGUCAAACCUUAUACAUCUUCCACCGCCGAUUAGCCACAUAAUGCUAGAAAAAUCGCCAAAAUAGCUGCGAUUCAACCGCCGUCGUUCACUAGUUUUCGCCUCGUUUUGACCGUCAUCACCACCACCAAUAAAAUCAUCUCCAUCAGUUGAACCUCUCUCACCUCUGAUUGACGUACCGAUCGUCGGAAAUCAAAACAACAACAAACUCGCAACAUUUAUCUCCAAUUUUCGGCAAAAUCACCACCUUUUUAGGUAGACCACCACUACCACCAUCACACUCACUGAACAGAAAUCUUCUAGAUCCACCCAUCCUUGCUCAAUUUUCGACCACCGUCACCAGAAAUCUAAAAUUUUUACUUAAUUAGAGUUUCAGCCUAAAAUUUUAUUUAGUUUUCAGUUUAACCCCAUUACUUUUUAAAACCCUAAUUUGAAAAAUGCCCCCAAGAAAAACUUGUGAUGCUAAUGCUACAACUUACAAUCAAGAUGAUGUUUCUAAAGAUGGAGCUCUGGCUAGCAUAAUAGCCAGAAUUGAUAUGUUAAUUGCACAAAUGGCACAAAUGGCGGAGUUACUUGACGAAUGACAUCGUACACCGAAACACGAAGACAAGUCAAGUGAAAGCUUUGCUAACCCAUUCUCCGGCCGUAGGCAUAGAUCUAAGUCUACUGAUGACAAAAGAUGGGAAUCUGGGUUGAGAAUUGAUUUUCUUAAAUUCUAGGGAAGUGGUCGACCUGAAGAAUUAUUAGAUUUGAUUAAUGUCAUUGAAGAAGUUUUCGAAUACAAGGAAGUCCCUAAUAAUAAACUAGUUUCACUUGCUGCAACUCGAUUCUAUGGAAGAGCGACAACUUGGUGGCAACCAAUGAAGCUAACACGGAUAAGGCAAGGUAAAAAGAAGACUGACUCUUGGGAAAAGUUGAAGAAGCCUUUGCGUGGAGCAUUCGUAACUCAAAAUUACGCCAAAUUGUUAUACCAAUAGUUACAUAAUUUAAGACAGGGUAAUCGAUCAGUAGAUGAUUACACUACAGAGUUUCAUUGGUUGGUAGCGCGAAAUGACCUAACAGAGACAGAAGAACAACAGGUUUUCUGCUAUAUUGGAGGCUUACGAUCCUAGUUUCAAGACUAGUUGAGUUUACUUGAUCCAUACUCUGCCUCAGAAGCACACCAACAACCUUUGCAGUUGGAGAAGCAAUUUAUUCGGCAUACUAAUGACUCAAAAUUUCGGGGUCCUCAAAGUGUUGUUCGUGAUAAUUCAAACCCGACUUCCUAAUUUCACAAUUUCACUCCUCCUAAUCCUCUAAAUAAAACUAGUAAAUCUUGUGAAAACGGUCAACACAGCAAAACCCUUCAUCGAAUGACAGAAUGCAAAAAAAGAGGAAAAUAUGGUAAAAGCUUAUUCGUAGGCACUGAGGAAAGUGAAGACUACCAGGAGGAAGAAACUGAAGAGUUUGUUGAAGAGCCAUUUUUUUAUAGUAGUAGUAACACACAAUCCGUUGAAGAACAUGGUGACAACGGACCAAUGUUGAUUGUGAACCGCACAUUCUUCACUCCUAAAGGUCAAGACAAAGACAAGUGGCUACGAUAAAAUAUUUUUCAGACUACUUGCACACUUGGGGGAAAAGUAUGUCGUAUGGUCAUAGACUCAGGCAAUUGCGGGAAUGUUAUUUCAGAAGAAGUUAUAACAAAGCUAAAUUUAAAGACAGAACCUCAUCAAACUCCAUACAAGCUCAGAUGGCUGAAGAAAGGCAAUCAAGUAACAAUAUCUAAACAUUGCUUAGUUUCCUUAUCCAUUGGAUCAAUUUAUAAAGAUCAAAUUUGGUGUGAUGUUGUGGCUAUGGAUGCUUGUCAUUUAUUAUUGGGCAGACCUUGGCAAUAUGAUCGAAACGUAGUGCAUGAUGGGAAAAGAAAUACUUACAGCUUCGUGUUUAACAACACUAAGAUUGUUCUUCUACUUAACAAGGAGAUCACUGUCAAACAGGACUUGGGUAAUUAUUUGAUAGGUAAGAAGCAGUUUAUAGAUGUUAUAACAAAGAAAAAAAAAGGUUUAUAUUUUAUUAGGAAAAGAGAGCCAUAAUAAUUCGAAAAUUCAUAAAGUUGUGACACUUAUACUGGAGGAAUUUCAAGAUUUGUUCCUUAACGAGCUACCACAGGGUUUACCACCUCUUCGGGAUAUACAACAUCAAAUUAAUUUGGUAUCAGGAUCUACAAUACCAAAUCGACCUCAUUAUCGUAUGAGUCCUACAGAAUAUGAGGAAUUAAGGCGCUAAGUGGAAGAGUUACUAGAAAAGAGAUUUAUAUGUGAAAGUCCCUAUGCAGUCCCUACUUUGUUGACUCCAAAGAAAUAUAGUUCUUGGAGAAUAUGCAUGGAUAGUCGAGCUAUCAAUAAAAUUACAGUUCGAUAUUGUUAGACCAACUCAGUGGAGCAGCAGUUUUUACCAAACUUGAUUUAAAAAGUGGCUACCAUCACAUUCGAAUAUGGCCUGGAGAUGAAUGGAAAACAACCUUUAAAACUUGCGAAGGGUUAUACGAGUGGUUGGUAAUGCCGUUUGGCUUAUCCAAUACUCCAAGCACUUUCAUGCGAGUUAUGAAUCAAAUUCUUCGCCCUUUCAUUGGAAAGUUUGUGGUUGUUUACUUCGAUGAUAUACUUAUAUAUAGUACCAGCCACGAGUUGCAUUUACAACAUUUAAGAGAAGUACUUUUAGCCUUAAGAGCAGCAAGUUUAUACACAUUAGUAAACAAGUGUAUUUUUUGACAGAGAGAGUAUUAUUUUUGGGAUAUGUGGUGUCGAAGGAUGGUAUAUCCGUUGAUCAAUCGAAACUGGAUGCUAUUCGAGAUUGGCCAACACCAAUAACUUUAUCUGCAAUAAGAAGUUUCCAUGGAUUGGUAUCUUUUUUUAUAGAUGAUUUAUUCCUCAUUUUAGUACUAUUAUGGCACUAAUCACGGAUUGCAUGAAAGGGGGACAAUUCUCGUGGACAGAAGCAGCUAUUAAGGCAUUCGAGAUUAUCAAAGAGAAGUUGAUUAUGGCUCCAGUACUCGCCCUACCAGACUUCUGUAUCACUUUUGAGGUGCAUCGUGUUGCGUCCAAAGUAUGUGUUAAUACAUUGGUGACAUUAUCUAAUUCAUAAAGACUUUGUUUCAUAUACUGAUCAUGCUGUAUUAAAGCAUCUCAAUAGUUAAGAUAAGUUCUCUCACAAGCAUGCCACGUGGACAACAUUCCUUCAACAAUUUACUUUUGUGGUAAGGCAUACCUCUAGUGAAUCCAACCGGGUAGCAGAUGCACUUAGUCGAUGAACUUAACACAAAUGCAUCAUCAGGUCCUUCGAUUUAACACAUUUCAAGAGUUAUAUGCUACCGACCCUUUCUUUGCUCCUUUAUUAAAAGACAUUGCUGUAGGGUUCUACCCAGAUUAUCAUUUAUAUGAUGGAUUCCUUUUCAAGGGUAAUCAGUUAUAUGUUCUUGACUCAAGUAUGAGACUGAAGAUUAUUGCAAAGUUACAUAAUGAAGGGCAUAUAGGUCGUGACAAAACUUUAACUCUAAUAGCCAACACUUAUUUUUGGCUUACUAUGAGGCGUGAUGUCUAUCAUUAUGUCAAGACUUGUCGCAUUUGUCAAGUUGCCUAGGGUACCGCAACUAAUGCUGGGUUAUAUAUACUACUGCCGAUUCCAACAUAACCUUAAGCUAACAUUAGCAUGUAUUUUAUUUUGGUAUUACCCCGCACUCAGAGGGGUAUGGAUUCAAUAUUUAUUGUUGUGGAUCGGUUCUCGAAAAUGGCUCACUUUAUUGCCUGUAAGAAGACUACAGAUGCCUUGACUGUUGCUCGUCUAUUCUUCAAGGAAGUUUAUAGAUUGCAUAGCUAUAGUAUCUGACUGGGAUCCACGAUUUCUUAGCCAUUUUUUGAAGACAUUACGGAAGUUGACUAACACUUACUUGAAUUUUGGAAGUGUUUAUCACCCACAAACAGAUGGUCAAACUAAAGUUGUCAACCAUUUUUUAGGAAACCAUCUAAGUAGUCUAGUUGGCGAUAACCUAAAGACAUGGGAUUAGAAGUUAUACCAAGUUGAGUUUGCUUAUAACCGAGCAGUUAAGUGUAGUACUGGUUUAAGCCAUUUUCAAGUGAAUCGCGGAUAAAAUCCACGAGCUCCCAUCGACUUAGCUCUAGUUCCGGAUUUAGUUCGCAAAAGCAGCAAGGCAGAAGAUUUUAUUGAGCAGCUUAAGAAGAUUCAUGCAGCUGCGCAAGAGUCUUUGAAGAAGACUACCUAAGGUUAUAAAAUUGUGGCAAACAAAAAGCGUCGACCUUUAAAAUUUCAAGUGGGAGAUAUUGUUUGGGCUGUCCUAACCAAAAAUAGGUUCUCCGUUGGAAAGUACAACAAGCUUUCUGCUAGGAAAAUCGGACCUUUAGAGAUUAUCGAGAAAAUAAAUCCUAAUACAUACAGAUUGAAGCUUACUAGUGAUAUCCACACCGCAGAUGUGUUCGAUGUCAAGCAUCUUAUUCCUUACAGAGGUGAUCAUGAUGAAGAUGGUAUUACUGACAAUCCAAAUUCGAGGGCGAAUUCUCUCCAUCCUUGGGGAAUGAUGUAGAUUAGGAAUUUAUAUUAUACUAAGAUAUGUUUCCUAAUUAACUAAGGUUUAGGACGUUUUAAUUUCCUUUCCAAUUUAGAAUUUUGUUUCCUUAGGAUAAUUACUACUACUAUAAAUAACUCCCUCUUGUAGCCUUUGAAGGCAUAUUUGAUUUCAAUAAUAUUUUCAAUUUUUAAAUCUCUUUGUGAGUAUUUGAACAAUUAAUUCUCGGUAUUCUGCGGAAUCAACAAGUCUUAACCCCUAAAUUCACGGUAUUCUUUUUUAAUCAACGUGAAUUUAGUUAUUUUUUUAUUCUAGUAUUCUUUAGAAUCAACAGAAUAUUUUGAACAAUAAACUUUUACUAUAUCAGAAACGCUUUCAAAGACAACUUCAAAAUUAAAUGGCUAAUUAGAUCAGCCAUUUACAGUUGCAGAAAUCACAACAACCCUUUUUUGGAUGUGCCCAACAAAAUCUCCUAUCAAGAUGGCUUACCAAUUGUAUUUUUUCAAAAGGAUUGGGAUGUGGUUGGAAAUGGUGUUCUCAAGACCCGCUUGAUUGUUCUCAACAAGCAAGGUACUGUAGCUUCUCUAAGUAAUGCAUAUAUUACUUUAAUUUCUAAGACUACUAAGCCUAGAAAAACUAUUGAAUUUAGAUCUAUUAGCAUCUAUAAUGUUAUCUACAGAAUCAUUGCUAAAGCCACAGUGAAUAGGUUAAAAUAAAUCCUCCACCAAAUUAUUUCUUUGACUCAAAGUGCUUUCAUACCAAAUCAGCUAAUCACUGACAACAUUAUUAUUGGAUAUGAAUCUUUUCAAAAAAUUAGACUUAGUAAGAGAAAUAAAAAUGGCUUGUUACCUUUAAUGCUUGACAUAAGCAAGGCUUUUGAUAGAGUGGAAUGGUCUUUCUUAAAGCAAGUUAUGGAGAGGUUAAACUUUUCUGAUAAAUGGAUGGCUUUCACUACUACAAAAAUGUUAAACAAUGACGCAUAUGUUAUGACGGUUCUUUUUAAAAACUGUCAUUAAAUAUCUUUAAUGACGGUUAUUAUUUGAACCGUCAUAAUAUGUAGUACUAAUAAUGACUGUUAUGUAAUAGAACCGUCAUUAAAUGUCAAGCAAAAUCUACACUUAAUUUUAAUGACGGUUCGUUUAUAAAAACCGUGAUUAAAACUUACCAUUUUUAAUGACGGUUCUUAUACACAACGGUCAUUAUAUGUGUAGUUAAAAAUAAUCUUAUUUUUAAUGACGGUUUUUAAAUACAACGGUCAUUAUAUGUGUAGUUAAAAUGUCUUGAUUUUUAAUGACGGUUUUUCCAUAAAACAGUCAUUGUAUGCGUAUUAAAAAAUAUUCUUAAUUUUCAUGACGGUACUAAAAGAACCGUCAUUAAAAGUUAUAAUUUUUAAUGACGGUUUUUAAAUACAACAGUCAUUAUAUGUGUAGUUAAAAUGUCUUAAUUUUUAAUGACAGUUUUUACAUAAAACGGUCAUUGUAUGUGUAGUAAAAAAAUUUCUUAAUUUUAAUGACGGUUCUAAAAGAACCAUCAUUAAAAGUUAUAAUUUUUAAUGAUAAUUUUUAAUGACUGUUGUUAUAUAUAACGGUCAUUAUACAUCUCAAAUUAAUGACGGUUAUUAUAGAACCGUCAUUGAGAUAUAUAUAUCCCAAAUUAACCGGCCCUAUACUAAACACCAAAUCCCUAAAAUUACAGAUAAUUUCUUAACUCUAAAAGCACGCACGCACGCAACCCUGUUCUCUCAGCAGCACACCCGCCGUCGGCACACUUAGCCCGUGCAGUAGUAACCGAGCAUGGCAGCACCAGGCCACCAGCAGCCGCCCUUUCUUUCACCAUGCUCUCAUGCACACAUAGCAGCAGGCCAGCACCAGCAGCCCCUCUCUCUCAUGCUUGCUCUCUACUAUGUCGGAGUCAACACUGUACCCCUCUUACCCAAGAAAACUCUAACCCAUAUCCAAACCCUUGCCGUCGAAGAAAACCCAAUCAUUAACUGCUUGAAAUUAAAGCCUUCACUGUCAAUCACCAUCGAACCAGAUAAACCCUAGCCUCGCCAUCACUCGCCGUUUCACUCACUGAAGAAAACACUCUACCAUGUGAGUCUCUGUUGUUCGAUAAUAUAUGUGCAUCGCCUGAGAUUUUGAUUUACUUACUUAAAUUAAUAAAAUUUGAAUGUUGAUCUUCUUUGUUGCCCGAAGCUGUCACAUGACCACUUUGAUUCACCGCUUCGAUUGGUUUGGUUCUCUAUGAUUAAGUAAUGAAUUACUUACUUUUAAUUUCAUAUUUUCCUAUCUAACUGUGAUUUUGGGAGUCGGUUUCUUGGUUGGAUUUGUAAUUUUUGAUGCAGAUCAAAAACAUCUUGAAGGUGUUUGUUUCAUUGUCGUAAUCCUUAAUCCUUUUGUGCAAUAAUUUCUUCAAUGGAUUUGAUUACUUGAUUUGUUUACUCUAUUUAUUUAUUUUUCUUAUAUUGUUGUCUGUUGGUUAAGGGAAUCUUUUGUGUUGUGGUAAUGGAAAAUGAUUCCAUUAUCUCUCGCCAUGGUUUUUGUUUUGCAAUUUUUCUGUAGGUUUGCUGUCAAAAUAGCUGCUAGAAGUUUACAAUGGCUGUUUUACUGCUUUUCUGCAGUGAAACAGCCCUUGGUAAUUUGCAGGGGCUGUUUUCACUACAAAACAGCAGCAAAACAGCCCCUGCAGAUUUCUAUUGGUUGUUUUCACUGCAGAACAGUAGCAAAACAACUGCUGGAAAUCUGCAGGUGUUGAUUAGUUGCUGUUCUACAGUCAAAAAGGCUCCUAGAAAUUUUUUGGUCUACUUUGUAUUGAAAAUAUUUUGGAAGAUUGUCGAGGAAGGAGGGGAAUGAGAGCAGUAGUUUUUUAGAAGGCUUGAUGAUGAGUUUGAUAAAUUUGACAAGUUUUACUGGACUGAAGUGAAAGAAAAUUAUGCUUAGGUUGAAAGUUUGAGUAAGCAAAUGGAUGCUUUGAUUGCUUUCAAGAUAAAAACUAAGGAAUUGGAAGGAGUGAUUUAGGAUUCUAUACAAUUUGAGCCUAAAGAACAAAAGCAUGAAAGCAAGUUGAUUUUUAAACUUGUUGUUGGUUAUUGCUUUCCUUGUUUCUAUUUCUCGGUAGUUUGAAACUAAUUCAUUUUCUUAAAUUAGCUUUCAAACAACUUUCUUCAUUUUAGUUCAUUCAAAAUUAUUAGUUCUAUCAAUAAUAUGACUUCAUUAAUGCAGAUUAUGUAGAAGACAACAAAGCAACUGCAUAUUUUGACGCCAAUGGUCUCCUCUUCUUUGCUGAAUAGUUAAAUGAUUUGACAAAAUACAAGCUGUAUCAGGUGACUUUUGCAGUUUGUGCUUUAAUUGCCUGUAUGGCGUUACAACUAUACUACUCACCAUUCACAUCUACAAUGGUCAUAUAUUUAUGUAUCUACAAUCCAUUCUCAUGUUUAUGAGUUCUGAACAUGAGUUUUGAAAAUAUUUUUAGAUAUGCACUCAUAUCAGGGUGCCUAUAGAGUCUUCUAAUUGUUUAGCUUAUAGUGUAUACGUGUUAAUGCUCUUGGACGACUAAAUUGGGAUACUAUAUUAAAUUAAUAUAGUACAAGCAUAUGAAUGUGCAAACGUAAUAAAUUUACUCUUUCAAAAUUUCAGUUUAGCAGAUGGUGGUGAUUUUUAGGAUCUUUCUAAUCAUAUAUUCUUUCAAAAUUCUAUAGGUCAAGAAUUUACAAUAAAGUUUGGUGACAUUCAUUGAAUUGAUGGGCCAUAUGAAGAGGUUAAAUUCCUAGACCUUAAAACUUAGGUCCAUCCUUUUAAUUUAUUUACUUUGGCAGCUUAUAUUAAUUUGAUAGCAAUAAUUCAUUUAGCGCUUGUUGAAAGAAACCAUGGGAAGACAGAUAAAUGCUUAUUCUAUGAUUUUUAUAGUUUAAUUUAUUAAAAUUUCAUGAAAUGAGAAGUUCGAGCAUUUAAAUUAUUUGACAUAUGAUCAGCUUGUUUGAACUCUCUUCAUCUCUUAAAUUAAAAUUACGUUGAGGCUAAUUACUUGCACUAUUAUUUUUGUUUUAUGUGGUGCCUAGAAUUGGUUUUGCUACUGUAUUACAAAGAAAACAACACUCAAAAAACGUUUCUUUUUAUUUUCUUUUUUUAUUUUGUUACUUCUUUGCUCUUUAUCUUCUUGCUAAUUGUUUUUUCUUGGGUUGUUUUUGUUUUUCCCUUUGGCUAUAAAUAGAUAUAAUUUUUCAAGGCAGCAAGCAAGCAUGUUAUUAAGUCGAAGAUAUAUUGAAGAUAUAGUGAAGAGAUAAAAGGAAUUAUCAAAUCUUUUUGUAUAACUAACUUUUGAUAUGAAACAUUUGUAGAACGUACAAUUGUAAAAAACUUAUAGAUACUGUAAUUGAAAUUGGGGCUUGAAAUGAUUAUUGUAAAUAUUUAUUUUUUUAAAAUUAACAUGCUAAAGAUGACGGUUAUUAUGUAAGAACCGUCAUUAAAUAUAAGUAUAUUUACUAUAAAAGAUGACGGUUAUGAAUAAAAACCGUCAUAAAAAAUUAAUGGAAAAGUGCAAUAGAUGACUGUUAUUUAAAGAACCGUCAUUAAAUGUGAUUUUUAAUGACGGUUUUUUCUUAAAAACCGUCAUUAAAGCUCUAGUAUGUAUAACUAAUAAUGACUGUUUUGUAAAAUAACCGUCAUUAUAAAUAUACAUUUAAUGACGGUUUUUUCUUAAAAACUGUUAUUAAAGCUCUAGUACAUAUGAUAUAUAAUGACCGUUUAUUAAAAUAACUGUCAUUAUAUGUAUAUAUUUAAUGACGGUUUUUGAACCGUCAUAAAAAGUAUGCCCCUUUUAAUGUCGUUGCCUAAGAUGACAGUUUUGUCAUUUAAAACCGUCAUUAAAGACCAAUUUUGUAGUAGUGAAAUUUGAUCAUGAACUAUAUUUUUACCACCACUUUCUCUGUCAUAUAAAUAGCGUUGCUAAAGCUUAAUUCGGCCUCAAAGAGGCCUUUGACAGGGAUGUACCCUAUCUCUAUAGUUAUCCAUCAUAUGUGUAGAGGUUUUUUUCAAAUCUUUUGUUACAGGGAGAAAGACAAAGUUGAAUUCAUAGGCUGAGAUUUUCUAGAGAUAUCAUUCUUUCUUCUCUUCUUUUUGCUGAUGAUAGACUUAUAUUCACAAGGGAUACUAUUGAAAAGUGCAAACGUUUGUAGUCAAUAUUUGAUUGCUAUUCUUCUACAUUAGGCUAGGUGUUUAAUUAUGAAAAAUCAUCAAUAUCCUUUAGUGGUCAGAUUUAGGGGGGACGAACUAUAGCAAUAAAGAACAUAUUUCAACUUAAUAUGGUGUCUAAGCAUGAAAAAUACCUAGGGCUACCCUCAAUGAUAAGAAGGAAAAGGACAAGUUUCUUUAAUGAUAUCAAACUCAAAGUUUUGAGUAAGUUAACUAACUAGCAUCACAAGUUUUUUUCUAGUGAAGGUAAAAAAAAAUACUAACAAAAGUUGUAGCUCAAGCUGUUCCUACAUAUGUAAUGAGUGGUUUUAAAAUUCCUAUGCGGUUGUGUAACGAUAUCCAGAGAAAAAUGACUAGAUUUUAGAGGGGCUUUAAGGAAAACGAAAGGGGAUGCGCUGGACAAAAUGGGAGAAGAUGAGCUACGCUAAAUAUAGAGGAGGCACGAGAUUUAGAGACAUCUCUAAUUUUAGUCAAGUGUUGAUCGAAAGGCAAAGAUGGGGGAUAACUCAACAUCCUGAUUCUUAGGUGGUAAAAGUAUUAAAAGUUAAAUACUUCAAGAAUUCUCAUUUCCUCAAGGCUAAGACAAGUUCUAGCCUAUCUUUUGUUUGUACAUCAUGGGGCAGACAAGUUCUUCAACAAGGUAUUAGAUAGAGAGUUGGGGACAUAAACAAAAUUAAAGUUUAGUCUAGUAAUUGGUUACCUAGGCCAAUGACUUAUAAGCCAAUUGUGAAAUCAAAGUUGCCUGAUGAUAUUAGAGUUUUUAAACUAAUUGAUUCUAAUCACAGGUGAGAUAAAGCUUUUAUUCACAAGAACUUUGCUGCAGAUGAUGCUGAAGCCAUCAAGACAACUUUCUUACUGAGCAAGCCCACGAGGAUGAGGUGCUCUAGCACUUUGACAAAAAGAGGAUUUAUUAUGUUGAAAGUGUACACCAAUUGGCUCUCAAGCUUAGGUUCCCUAAAAGUCUCAGUUGUUCAACCUUUGACCCUCAAGGUUGGCGAACAAACUAAAAGUUAAGUACCCCGUGAUUGACACUAAAAAGUGUACAUUUAAUAAGGAUAAAAUUAUUAGUUUUUUACUUAUUGUGUCGAUUAAUGCACUCAUUAUUCCUAAGUUAUCUUAAUACUUUCCAAAUAUAAUUUUAUGUUAAAUUAAUUGUAAUAUGUUAAUUUAAUUUUAAUUUUAUAUUGUAAAUAUAUUUCAAGAAUAAAAAAGAGUUGAAAUUGGAAGUUGGAACAAAGAAUAAUUGUUGGAGCCAUUUGAAAAUCAUUAUUGAGGAAGUGUAAUUAAAAAAUCAAAAUAAAAAAAGUGAGCAAUCAUGUUGAUGAUGGUCAGGAGGCCAUUAUGCCACAUGUCCAUCACACUUCUCAAUGUACAUUUAUAUUAUAAAAAUAAAAUAAAAUAAACAAAAUAAAUAAAGAAGGAUGCAUUCCUUGCCUAUAAAAGGUAAUGAGAUGUAGGAGAGAGGAGAGAGAGAGGAGAGAGCGAAGCUGAGGAAUCGUUUUUUAUUUUUUCUUCUUUUUCUUGUUUUGUUGUGUAAUCAAUUUUCUUUUAAUAUAUUUCAAAAGUUUAUCAAAUAAAAAGAGAUUUUUUUUUCUUUCAAUAUGAGUAGUUAAUUUUAUUAAGCUGAGGUGAAGGGUGAAGCUCAAGAUUUCAAGUUCUUAAAUUUAUUACUUUCUCAAGUGAGUUUUAAGUUUAUUUUAUUCUUUUCUGGUUAUUUUAAUGUCAUGUUAAUUUAUAGAUUUUCUUGGAUCUAUAUGGUAUUUUGACAUAAUGUUGACACAUUAAUACAUUUGUGGCACAUUAGGUAUUUUAUUCCAUAUUUAUCUACACACAUAGUUAGUUAAGAAUUAAAUAAUAUAAUAAUUAACUAGUAAUAGUUAGGAAAAAUAUAAAAAAAAUGAGAGAGUAUUAAAAUUAUAGUUUGAAUAUUAAGAGUGAAUCUUGUAACCUUAGCAUAAUUUUAAAUUGAUUCCUAGUAAUUUUUUCCCCCAAUUAAUUUUUUUAUUUAACAAAUUGAUUACUAGAUUUUAAAGGUUAAAAAAAGUCAAAGUUUUUUUAAUGGAAAGCUUAAAAAAGCUUGCUACCAAUUGUGGAAAACUUGUAGAAAAGAAAAGUUGUGCAAGAACCUAUUUGUCAUAUCUAUAAAAAGAAAAGUUCCUCAUGCUUUUUUGGACUGCAAAUUUGCCAAGAAAAUGUAAAGGUACACACAUCUUACUGCAGAAAUUUGAAAAGAAGUUACUAAGUUAGGCAGAAUACUUUUAGUAUGCUGCAAAGUUUGAUAAAAAGCUAACUAUCAAGGAGGUUGAACUAGUAACUUUAGUGUUGUGGGUGGUGCGGAAUGCAAGAAACAAAUAUAUUUUUUAGAGAAAGAUGAUUAGUAUUAAAAAUUGUUUAAUUAUCAAGCGAUAAUAAUAUUAUUUUGUACUUAUGUUAUAAUUUAUAUUUGUGUUUAUGUAAUAUAUUAGGAAUUAUUAAUUAUGUUUUAAAUAUAUCUAAUUUUGUGUAUUUUUGUGUUUAUUAGGUAAAAUAUUAAUUCUACGUAAUUUGAGGCUCCAAACAGAUAAACUGAGGUCAAAUUUGGAUUCCGGAGGUCUGAAAAUCUUAAGAUCAAUCAAGAUCGGCUUAAAAUUGGGCUUGUAUAAAAAGAGUUGACUUUUCCUGUUGACGGAGCACUAAUUGGAUGAUGAAAUGAGCUUACAAUAGAUAUGAGUGCAUGGGAUAGCUGGCAAUUUUGACUAAAUCUCAACCGUUCAUGAUUCAAUGGCCAUAAUUGUGCCACGUGGCAAUGAUUGGUGAAGCAAGUUGUAGGAUCCAAAUCUUUGUAUUCGGGUCGACCCGAUCCACUCAUUAACCCGCCAAAUCUCAACCGUUCUUUGGCCAAAUCGGACGGGUCAAAUGAUGCCACGUGUGAUGUUGACUUUGAAGUUUGAUCAGCUGUUGGAUCUUGAUCUAAUGGUUGUGAGGAGCACAUGCAUGAAGCUUAUGAUGAAUCGCAAAACACUGGAUUAUGAAUUUAUUUUUCUAUAAAUAGAGCCUCAUUUUUAUGUUUUUAAUCAUCUCUCUACAACUCUCUUCUUCUCAAAUUCUCUCCAUCUCCCUGUAAUCUUGAUUUUCAAGUGUGUUUUUAAUAUUUUGUAUAAUUAUUUUUAUAAAUAAAAUUAAUUUUAUUUUCAAUUUUAGUUGUUUUUAUUACUUUUAAUUAUAAUUAAUUAAAUUUUAAUAUUUCUUUUUAUUUCAAUUAUGCUUAACUAAAUAAUAUUACUUAGGGUAAGAUGAAACUCUUAGGAAAUAAAUAUGAUUUAAUCAAAUUCUAUUUUUAAUUUUAUAAAUUAAAUUAUUUUCAAUUUAAUUUUAUACAUAUUUUAUAUUUUGAAAUUUUGAUUUAUUGUAGACAAACAAAUGAAUUUGGCACAAUAAAUUCUUAAUAUCUUAAUAUAAGGUAUGGUAAAAUGAUAUUUUGACUUAUUGUAGACAAAUUAAAUUUUGGCACAAUAAAUACUUAAUCCAUCAUAAAAUUAAAGAGAAAAUAAUAAUAAUUUAUAUAAUUAAUCUUUUGGGCAAUAAAUCUAAAAAAAAGGCUAAAAGAAUUUAUCAAGUUUUAUUUACUACUAAGAGUGGAUCCACAACCCUAAUUAGUUCAAUUUUAUAGUUUCAUUUAAAUUAAGUUGUUUAUAUUCAAGUUUUAAUUUCAAUUUUUAGUUAAAAUAAAAUAAACAAAUUAAAUCUUUUCUCCGUGGAUCGACCUCGGACUCACCGAGUUAUAAUACAACAAAACACUCUUAUACUUGGGAGUUAAAAAGUAUUUUUAAGUUGUGUCAAAAGAACCCAGAUCCCGCCAUAUCAAUAGCAAAGGCCACUGUAAUUAUGAAAGCCUAUCAAAAAGUCAAGAAGCUUGAACAGCAGCAACUUGAGCAAGGAAAGUCUGGAAAACAACAUGACUGGAAGCCUCCACCAAACGGCUGGUACAAGAUCAAUAUGGAUGCUGCUAUCGAUAACAAUUUGCAUAUUGGAGGCUUUGCGGUUGUUAUUAAAGACUCAUCUAAGAAGGUUACAGAAGCAGCUGCCAAAAGCAUAAGUUUUGAUGGUGAUGUUCCUUUUGCAGAAGCUGAGGUUUACAAGUAGCUAAAACUGCUGGACUCUCAUCUGUGAUCAUUGAAUGUGAUUGUUUAAAGGUAGUUGAGUUAGUCAAUAAUAGAAAAGGCAGGAGGACUGAGAUAUUUUGGCCUAUUUCAGAUAUUUCACAGCAGCAGUUGAAAAGAUUUCCCAGCAGUUAGAUGUCAACAUGUUCAUAGGUCUUGUAAUGAUAUUGCUCAUAAUUUAGCUAAGAGAGCUAUAAGAACUGGUGAAACUGUUAUCUGGUAAAAACGUUCCCUAGGUGAUGUACUGUCUUUAAUUUCGGUUUAAUGAUAGAAAGUAUUUCUUUCGUUUGAAAAAAAAGAUUGCAAUAUAUUAACGGCAACUCCUAACUUAAAAUUCUGGUUCUACUGCUGCAUAUGAGGCCCCAAAAUUAUGGAAGAUUUUGCUAUCCUUAAUUCCUUAUAGUGUACUAUCAACAAAAGUUGUGUUUUCAUAUUAGUAGCAAAGAUUUAAAUGGUUAUCAACAUAAUACUACGAGAAAAUUGUAAAAAAGAAAUCACUUGAUGUUGGACAAAUUAAUAGUACAAAAAAAUUAUUUACAAGGUAAUAAGUACUAUCAAUCUGAUGAAAAAACUUAUUUACGAUGGAGUGCUAUAGCUGUAGUGUCCACCAUCAUAAUAUCUCCAAAUAUUUGAUUUCUCUUAAUUAGAACCUUGAUGUUGUAUACUACACGGCUUUAAUUGCUUAGACACUAAGCAAUAUAUUCCAAAAUACCUUUACGGUCGGCUCUCCAUUAUUUACUUUGUGCAAUUUUUUCGAAACCCUAGGACAGCAUCCCUAAAAUUGGCUCCAAGUUGCUAAGGUUACGUGGAUUCAUAUAUGUUAGAAUUGGCACCCAUAGUAGGUUGGACGGAGCCAACAUAAAGAACAAUUUAGAAACUUCUAAUAGAUUCUAUAUAAUUGUUGUAAGUCUAAUUGGACUCUAAUUAAGAGUUAUAAAGUCUUAUGGUUGACUUCUAUCACUUUCAUGAGCUUCUACCACUUUUAUGAGCUUUUACAUAAACACGUCUAUUGUAUUUAAAAUAUGUGAGACAUGAGAUAUACGUAGAACAUUUUAAAAAUUCAAACAGACUUACCAAAAGUGUGGGUGUGUAAAGACGAGAGAAAAAGUCUUUGGGCGCUUGCACUGUAAUUUGAGGAGAUUUUCAUCUCUAUGAUUCCCCUCGGACCAUAAGCAUACAGUGAAAUGAGGAUAUUCCUUGUAAUCAUCUUCUAUCUUUAUUCAAAUUGACAAUGACAUAAUCUCGUUGUAAUUCGCUUCCGCGUUCAAGGAUUAAAAUGGACGCUUUUGGAUCUACCAUUAAUAAUAUGUUGAAUAUGCAAAAUAUCAACACAUUUAUUUUUUUUUGAUACAAAAAGGGCUAAGAUAUCAACACAUUUAUUUUAUAUUGAAUAUGCACGAAUAUCAACAAUAUAGGAGUAUGUUUCCUUUAGCCAUAAGGAUUAGGGUUUGACCCCUUGCUUAACCUAUAAACAAAGCCUUCUAUCACCAUUCACGCAUAAUUCAUUCAAUCAUCAAUCAACUUCCCAACAAGCUACCCUCGACCAGCAUUCAUUAGUUGCUUUUGAUCAUCAUUGUUUUGUCCUUGAUCAACUAAAUAAGUGAGAGGGAGGAAAAACAAGUUUAAAAAUAUAUAUUUUUUUAAGUUUCAAUAAGGAUAAUUUUGAAAAUAGAUAACGUUAAUUGAAAAGUGAGGUUGCUUAUGAAAAUUGAGAAGUCAAAUAUUACCACCUUAUUUCAGUAGGUUUGCAUGCCAACAUCCAAUUAAAUCCAUCACUCAAAUGCAAUAAUUUAACAAAAGAGAGUGGAAUUAUUAACGCCCUCGUAGAAAAUUCUUAGAACCCUUAUUCUCAAUUAACCAUUUUUCUCAAUUAACUCCAUUAAAAUAUUAAAAAUAGUUAUACAAUUUCAUAACACCUCAUUUAUUCCCAAAAUAAGCCUAAUUAAUUAAAAAAAGAAAACUAUCAUCAAUCCCCAAUAAUGACGUAAAAUUCUUACCUAUACUAAACUCAUGUAAUAUUUUUCCGGCAAUUCCAGUAGAAACAACCCUUAAAGAGUGCUAUGCACCACUCUAACAGUUCAGUGAUGGUGGGUUCAAGCUCACAUUCAAAUGGAGUUACUGAAAACUCUUUACUUAAACUUCACAGCGGAGCUUACAGUUUUAAGAAUCCUUACCGCAAAUUCUUCAGAGUUUUACAGCUGUUUGGAGUGUUCAUUUUUUUUUUUUAAUGAUAGCAAGGAGUAUUCACUCAAAUCAAAUUAUGAGAGUUUUUUUUUAAUGUCUUUUUAGGUAAUUUCAGUUAUGGGUGAAAAUAUAAAUACAAAACUGGAGUUUUAGCAAAUUUCUAAGCAGGUGCCAAUAGUCUAAUUCAAAAAAAAAAAAUUGCACCAACCACAUAACCACAUAAUUUAACGGACAUUGUACAAUGGAAAUUAAAACUCCAUUACUUCAUUCACAUUAGUUUACAAAUGGACGUUUCUAACAAAGAUAGGUGACAUGGCAAAAUUAUAACCUAGGACAACAUGUUGAACAAAAUAUAUCCUUCAAAACAGGAACCUGAAGCAGAGCAAUUACAACCGUUGGCACGAAUGCAACUAGGCCCGAAAGCACAACGAUCCAAUUUACUCCAUGAUCAUAAGCUAAGAAAAAGGUUGAGAAAAAAGCUACCAUCACGAAUACAAUAGACACGAAGAGCGCCGAAAGUCCACCUAGCAGCUUAAGCGGUAACGACAUUAGAAAAUCAUCUUCUGCAAAUUGUGAUGUGAGGAUGGACAAAAAGAAAAGUACGGAGAUUAUAGAGCAGGAGAAUGCGAUUGCGUCUGCUAUUGCAAAGACCUGAAACCAAUUCUCUCUAAGAUGAAUGGGUAGUCCUGUUUUAUCAUCCUUACCACCCGGCACUGUGAAGGCUGCUGCAAAUACCAUUGUAGCCACAAGUGUUCCAACAAUCAUACUUGAACUGGCUCUGCUCUUCAUCCAUUGUUCUCCUCUUCUCAACAACUCCAAAUGCUCCACAGUGAAUAAUUCUCUAGGUGUUUUUCCGUCAUAAUUUUUCAUUUCUUUAUAAGAAGGUUGCACGAUCAUUUCAACCUCCUGCCAUUAUAAAAUAAUAUUAUUAACACUAAUAACUUGCAUUGAAUCUUCAUAAGGCUAGUAUCGAAUAUCAUAGGAAAAUUAGGAAAUUGGGAAAUGAAUUUUUAUUUUUAUUUUUUACCUUAUAUAUUAGUAACUCUCGUUGCAUUUCUAGAGCUGCACCAGACACGGUUCUGUACGGACUUGUAGUUGGAUAUUUUGCAGCCAGAUGCAGUAUGUUAUUUCCACAGCUAUCUAAAUAGGUUGCUAAAAGCUGCUUAUUGAAGCCUUGCUCGUAGAUUAGAUUGAAUAUAUUCAUAUGACGAUGCAAAAUGGCAACGUGAAAUAUGCUGCGACCAUUUUCAUCUAAUUCAUGAACCAA